AGAAUUGAAGAAAUGGUUAAAUCAAGAAGUCAAUCAUACUUCGUUCCAAAACAAGUCUUAGAGUUAAGAUUGUGAAAUUGAGUGAUAAGUAUUAAGAAGGUUUAUAACAUUCAUCAAAUUUGGAAAGUUGUGAUGUCUUGGAUAAGACAAAGACCAACUAGGACCAAUUUAUGAAGUGUUUGAUAAAAACUACACUAACUCUUGAAUAUUUGUUUGUCAAGAAAUGUUUAUUGACAAGAGAAUCUUAUAUGACAAGGAGUAAGUGGGAGUCUUAAUGGUCUUGAAAGGUUUCAAGAACAAAUCAAAUUAGCCUUAUCGAUCAUCACUAGCACACGAGUUGAGGUUUACAACCUAUCGUGUUGACAUUAUUUUGUUUCUGUGCCAAUCCAAUCGAGUUAAUUAUGCAUGUGAGUCCUAUGAGUUCUCAUUUGAAUGCAUAAAAGGCAAGGACCUUGAUCAAUGGAAAGUACAUUGAUAAGAAAAGGUGAGCUGCUUAACUACUUGGAAGACAUGGUGGGCAGCUGUGCUACCAUAAGGCAAGAAAUCAAGAUUAAGGAAGUUCGGUCCAUAUGAGUUUGAAUUUGUCGUAAACUUUGGUUUUGACAAAUUCACAUGGAUAGGAACACAUACGCCGUUUAAAUCUAAGUGUCAUAAGAAUUCCUCCUUCAUGAAAAUGAUUGUGAGGAAAUGCUUUCACUAAGAAAGAUUUUAAGAAGAUAGUGAUUGUAAAAUUGCAUUCUCGAAUUCGAUUAUGGUUACGGUAUCGCUUUCCAUAAUUUGAGUUGUGAGGUUUGGCAAUUAGUCUUAAUUGUUUAGACGCACAUAUAAACUAAGGCAAAGGUGUAUAAGUUCAAGAAACCUUGAUAAAAGAUUAUCAAAGCACUAAGUAUUAGUCACAUGAAAUUAAGAAAUUCAAUAAGUAUUGUUUGUCUGAAAGUUAAGAUGUUUCUAAAGACAUGUCAAAGCUAGUGGGAGUAUAAGUGUUAUGUUUAUAAUAAUCAUCAUGAUAGUGGGAGCAUAAAAGUUAUGAUUGUAUGAUUAUUAUGGAAAGUAUUGCAAAGUUAGCAAUAUUAAUUAUAGAAAACAAGAGUCAUACUUUGCAAAGUUGUAAGAGUUGAAAGGUUGUUUUGCUAUAAUUAAGGGAGAGAAUAUUAUGCUUCAAUCAAAAUCUAAAGGCUUAGGUUGUGGAAUGUUAAUAACUUAGUCAAAGAAACAUAGUGUGUUCUUAAAAUUUUGAUUAUGAUUACAACAUUCCUCUUCACAAUUCGAAUUUUGAGAACAUAGCAAAUAAAACAUUAAGGUAGAAGAUUAAUGAAGUAUCAAAUCUUUAUGUAAGACAUUUUGCAUCAUGUCCCAUACGCUUUGGGUAUUGGAUCGAUUGAAAAUGCUAUAAUAUUUGACCAUUCUAAAAUUUUCCAAAUGUCUAGCGCAUUCAGAGGGAAAAAGGACAAGAAUUGGUUUUGACUAAAAUAAUUUAACAACUAUCAAAGGACAAUCCAAAGUUCGCUGAGGAUUGGUCGCUUGUGAGUAGUUAGAAGUAUAGUAUUGGAAGAUAUAGAAAUGUUUCCAUAUUAGAUGGACCAUAUCGACAUUUUUAUGAAUAGAUAAGAUUCUAUUAAGAAUUAGUUGUCAUAUGGAAAAUAUGGAAGUGUGUCCAUAUUGGGAAUUUAAUAUUGAAAAUCUAUGUCUAGAUUAGCAGCUUUUAUGCAAAAGGAUGUCAAAGGAAUGUACUUUGAGUGAGAGACAUCAUAUAUAAGGAAUUGUCUUGUAACAAUAUCCGAUAGAGGACUUUAUAAUUUCAUUGGCAAUAGUCUUUUUGACUUUGGUGCAGUGACAUUACGAAAGGAUCGUUGCAUAGAAUGUUAGAAUCUAGCAUAUUCUAUAAGUAGCAAGAAUUUGAUAUUCUUUCGCUUAUGAAAAAGGAUUUGGAGUUGUGAAAUGAGAAUGAUUGGAAAUGUGCUCAAUUUGGUCUAUUUCACAAAGUAAGAACCAUAGGUAAACAUUGUGUGCAUGCUAAGAGCAUGGGACAAGUGUAAUAAUUCAAGUAAGAAGUUGAUUACCCGAAACGACAAAUAAUGAGUAAUCGAUAUGGUGAUAAAUAAAAGGUGUUUUAUUUAUACUCAAAGGUUUGAGGCCAUAUGGGAUUAGUAUUAUUCUUGUGUUUCACAUUUGCAUGUUUUGACUUCCAGAAUAAUUGAAUUUAUUAAGAAUAAUCGAAUUAUUCGAACGGGCCACAGUCGUUCAUAUGUUGGAAGUAGAUAUGAAUGAAGACUGUCGUGAAUUGGUGUGUGGAUUGUCUAAAGAGUAUUAGACAUAAGCAAAUGUUUGCUGCAACGUUCAUGAGUGCUUAUGAAUAUGAUUUGAGCAUUGGAUUAAACCCACGCUCACUUGGAUCACUCCAUGAAUUGUAUCACGAGUGAUUGGUGAGACGAUAACAUCUUAUAUUCUUGAAACCGAGAUGUGUGAGUUGUAUCUUGCAAAUCGGUUGCACAUUGAUAAUAUGUAAACGCACUAGUAACUUGGUGUUAUAAAACAUAUUGUUGUGUGUGAUUCGGUGAGUGAGUGCAAGCAAGCAUUGUAUCAAAGUUUAUCCGUUCCUUUUAUCCAAAGUAGGAUAAAAGCGAUAUCUUUGGGCCCCUCGAUGAUUUAGUGAUGACAAACGUAAAUGCUCGGCCGGGCUAGGGCUAAUUUGAUUUGUUCAAUUAGUCAGUCGUCAUAAAUCGGGAAUCGAGAUAUAGUACAAAGAGAAUGAUUUGAAAUCAUAUCUCAUAUGAUAUCUAGAAUGGAGGAAUAUAUGAUCCCUUAUCUAAAGGACACGCGUAUCUGAUAGGAUCAGAGUUGACAGCGGCUUUGGAAAGCUACGAUUGCAGAUCAGGAUCUGAAGUCAUACGCAGAAUAGUUAUUAGACUUAUCCAAGUGGGAGACUGUUGGAUUAGUGUCUAAGUCCAUAACUAUUUUGGUAUGUACUUGACCCGAUGGUGCAUGGUCCUUUUGGGUUGCCUUCACCAAAGCAACUUGAUAGGAUGAAUUAUGGAGAGAAAGGAUUAAAUAUGAUUUAUUAAUAUAUUAUGGGAAUAAUAUAUUAAAGAAGAAAUCAUAUUGUUUAAUUAAUAUUAGUCAAUAAUUAAUUGGUAAUUAGUUUUGUGACUAAAAGAGAUUAAUUAAACUUAAGGGACUGGAAUUGUAAUUAUAAGAUAAUUGCAAUUGGGCCAUGGAUUGCCUUGUAUUAAGGAGUCAACGAAUUCUAUGGGGAAGCCCAUAUGGAAAUCGUCAAAGGCCUUAAGGAAAGGGGUCCAUGGGUUGCUUAGGGCUUAACCAUCCAAUUUAGGGUUUCCUUGUUAGAUAACCCUAAUAGCCUCCUAUAUAUAUAGAUCCCUUAUGACCCAAAAACGUGGCUAAGCAUUCUUCUAGGGUUUCACACAUUUUGGGGCAGCCUCCAUCCUCUCUCUUCUUCAUCCUCUUGCUUAUGGUGUUUAUGAACCAUUAGAGGAGUGACAUUUGUGACUCUAAGCUUUCUAAAGUCAAUACAAGGAGGAAUUGGAUUGUUAUUGCUACAUAACAAUCAAGGUAUGAUCUUAAACCUAUUCUCAUGUUAAUAUGAUUACUUGAAUGCUUGAAUUAGGGUUUAUAGUCUUGGAUAACUUGCAUGUACAAUAGAGAAACCUAUAUCCAAGCAUUAGGGUUUGUAUGAGCACAUAGGAUGUUCUUAGGACCAAAACCCAUCACUAAACUCAUAAUAUGAACACCAACUUAAGCUGUUGUAAAACAAGGCAUUGGUUUGACAUCGGUGAACCAACAUUAGAUAAUUGAUCUGAUAGCAUCUUCAAGGCUUGGCAGUAGGCAGAGCAAUAUGGAAAAUUGGCAAGCUUUGUUGUAACCAAUUUGUGUUCAAGGUAGAGAGCAUGUUCAUUUUGAUUGUCUUGAAAAAUAUUUUCAAGAGCUUUCCAUGCGUGGGCCACCAAGGAAUUUGGUUUGAGAAUGGUGUGAAGAAGAUAGUUUGAAAUAGUGCUAUAGAUUCACUAUAAAACUAUGGUGCCAAGAUGUUUCCACAGUUCUUUAUCGAUGGGUUUAGGAGCCUCUUUCCCGUCGGCUGCAGCAGGAGUAGGGGAGUUGGUCAUUGGUUGAAUGUGAUCGAGAACUUGGAAGGCACGACAAUGUAUUUUAAAUAAUUUGACCGGGUGCCACUCUCCAUCUCCAGGGGGGCGGUAAGGGGGAUGAAGUUUAUGAUGUUAGUGAUCAUCAUAGUUGGAUGAAGUUUUUCUGCCAUAGGAGAAGAUAAGAGAAGGAGAGAAUCAUUGGUUAAGAAGAGAGGGGAGGGAAAAAUAACGGCAACGACAUUAGGUCAGGUAUGUCAGGUAUGUCGCUCUGAUACCAAAAAAGAAGCUUGCGACUUCUGUGGCCCCUAUUGAAACAGAUCCAAACAUAUAUAAGGUGGGUAGCCGUAGACUAUUUUGGACAUAUUUAUAAAAGCUACCUUUACAAAUACAAAGAUAAUGUUGGCUACCCUAUAAAUGAUAAUAAUAAUAUAACCGACUAAUAAUUACAAUGCACUCCAUAAUUUCCACUAACAUUUCAUCCUUAAUUUCCCAAUUUAUUAUCAAAUUAUUAUUCGUCUACCCCCAAGACCAAAAAUACUACGACCAUAUGUGGCACUCAUCAAGUCUAAGACGAGAGGGAACUGCAGGGUGACAAAAGAAGUGAUUGGUAGGCAUGUCAAGACAGCUAUUGGAAUAAGAAUCCUCCAGUUUCUUUGGCCGAACACAAGGUACAAUGUUGCACCAAAAGCUACUAUCAUGGCUGUUGUUGAGACGAACAAGGUGGCCAAACCAAUUAUCAACUUUGUAGGCAACUUGAAGAGAAAGUCUUGCUCAGCAAAACAUGCGGUAAGAAUCGACAAAAACAUUAACAAUGACGUAACAGCUGCAAAUAAUGAUAUGGCAUCUGAUAUUGCAAAUAUUAUGAAGGCGGUGUUGUUGGUAAAAGUUGGUAUCCCGGUGUCUUGAUUGCUUCCUCCUGGCACUGUAAUUGCUGCUGCAAACACAAUGGUGAUGAUUAAUGCAGCUGUAAUCGUGUAGGACUCUGCAGUGGACUUCAUCCAUUUUUCUCCCUCAAUCACCAACUCCAUGUGUUCUCUAGUAAAUACCAUUUGUGGUGUUUCGUUUAAAGAGUUCUUUUGUUUGAUGCUUAGAGGACAAAUGAAUUUUUCCACUUCCUACAAGAUUACAUUAUGUUAAUUGUUACACAUGCUUGAUAAAUACUUAUGGUCUUUAGAUUCAUACCUUAAACCAUUGUAGUUCGUGUUGUAUCUGUAAAGCUGCCCCCGAUAUAAGAUUUAAUUUGUUGGAUGGAGCCAAUCUUGCAGCUAGAUGCAACAGGUUAUUCCGUGAAGAGUCUUCGAGUGUCCGGUAUAUAUUCUUAUGUUCGCUCAUCUGAUAAAGUAGGUUGUAAACCUUUUCUGAACGAUUUAUUGCAGCAUACAGAAUAAAGUUGUGCCCAUCUUCAUUAGCACACCAAAUUGCAUUUGGGAACCAAGUCACAAUUUCCUCUACAACCUCAUAUGCAUUUAGUCUUGUGGCUUCAAGAAUAGGAGUUGUAUAAUAGUUAUGGUAACAGCUGGAGUGAUUUGUUCGCCUUAUCAACUCACAUACUUCCUCCAACAGUCUCAUAGCAUCAUCAUGAGUUCGAACUCUCUCUUUAAUGAAUGGAGGCACUGCAACAUAGACCCCAAUGAGCAUCUCAAAUAAUGAAAUAGACCUUUUUUUUUCUCUCUUUGCUUUUAGUAAUACAAUGACAGUUGUUGUUGAUCAUCUUACCGAACAUGUUAAGAACCUUCAUGAAAAGCCAAAUGAUGAAGCCAGUCACUGCAUUAUGGGAUGAAAUGUUAAUUUAUAAUAGAAUGUGCCACCAACAACUUUAAAGUUUAAGAAAAGAAAAACUCCUGACCUACCGCAAAUGAAUGGGAGGAUUAUCAAAAUCAAAACCCAUGGAGGAAAACCGUCUGCUCUCUCAAGUAAUUCUUCAGUCCCUUCAAUAUAAAAAGUGGUGUGCAGGAAGUUUGGUAGAGAAGCGUUAUAAAUGAUUUGACAAUGUAAACAAACAGACAGAUCCAUUAAGAUAGAAAAACAACGAACCUGUAUAUCUUUCAAAAUCUUUGACUUUGCUUGGGAAAUUUUCAGCUAUAGACAUCAGCACAGCAUCACUAUGCAAUGUUUUGUAAUGCUUCAACAGUUUUCUUGCAAAGUCUACAUAUAUUACAAAGUCAGCCGUAUCAAUUAACUGGGCAGAUUUUUUACUACCGGAAUUUGAGUCCAGUCCACACUUACGGAAAUCUUUGGAGGAGAUAACAGUAACUAGAAGGCCAUCGCCAGUUGUGCCAGAAAACAGAGCAUCCUUCUGAGUAUCAUCAGUAUUAUUGAUGUGUUGCAGCAGAUGUCGGGCUGUAUCUGUGUGCAUAUUAGAAAGAGCCAAGGCUAGUGGUGUCAGAUCCUUUUUGUCUUUGGCCAACAACAACUCUGGGUUUCUUGCCACCAAUAUGCCAACAGCUUCUGUGUUGCCAAUAAUAGCAGCAACAUGAAGUGGUGUGCUUCCAUCUGAAUUUCUUAGAUCCAUGAGUUGUGUGUUCUCCGGUAUCUUUUCCAACAAUUUCUCUAGGAAUUCCAGCUUCUUGGAAGUACCGACUGCUACAUGAAGCGCAGUGUUGCCAUUAUUCGUUAUUUUGUCUAUCACUGUAACCCUUCCAUCCCACAAUAUUUCUUCGACCCAGUGCCAAAUUCCAUGUCGAGUAGAAUGGUACAAUCUCUGGAGAGCCAAUACUCUGUCUUGAUCUUGUAGUGUAUCUAUAUUUGCAUAAAUUUUUUGUGAAGGUAAAAAACUACAAGAUACAAAAUAUGUGAUCUGAUAUAGUGGAAUGUAAUCUAAACGUUAGGAAUUUUGAAGGAUGAUGAAAAAAACACCUUGUUUGUAUGUACAAUUUUAUCCGUUUUGUAUACUUUGUAUCUUGUUUAAACAAGUGCUAUAUACAUAUUUUACUGUAUAAGUAGUGGUAUCCUUAUCUAAAUCACCAACCCAAACAAACGAUCGAUUAGCAAACAAGAGCUGGAUUGUACCUUCAACAACAUGCAGUUUUGGAACAACAGCAGGAGCAUACAUAGUCUGUAGUUCAUCCCAAACAUCUUUUGCACUGAAAUCAUCUUGAUGGAGUUUUCCUGUGAGACGAUUCACAAUAUACACAAGUGUUUCUUUAGACAGGGAACCAAGAAUCCAACCCUUCACCAGGGAAUCUGAUCUUCUCCACAGCUUCUGAUGAGUCUGAUGGUCAACCACUUUCUCUUUCCCGGAAACACUACUACUACUACUGGCUUCAUCAGGGCUUACGAGUGUUCCAUCUAUGAAACCUGACACACUAUGACUCUCUAACAGGCAUAACAUCUGUGUUUUCCAAACACCAUACUCAUCCCUAUCACUCAGCUUAAAUGUAACAAAAUGGGGAGCACAAACAUGUGAUGGGUAUGUGUAUGGGUUUUCUUCUCUAACUUCCAAUGUGACAUGUGGAUUAGAGCUAGACCUUGAGUUUGCCAUCUUUGUUUUUUUUUUUUAAGUCCUCUUGCUUCCAUCUGUUAAUUAUUUAAAUAGAAACAUGGAGUGGAUUUGUGGUGCCCACAAAAGCCACUUAAAGGAUUGAAUCCUCCCCAAGUAAUUAUUCCCUCAGAUAGUAAAAUUUCAAGCAAAGAAUAGANUAUAUAUAUAUAUAUAUAUAACUUAUUUAUCAAAAUAUAAUAGAUACAUAACAAAUGAAAAAACAAGUGAAACCUAUCUUUCCGUAUGCUUCCCUUCAAUCACCAGUCUAUUUUCUUAGUCCUUCAUACAUUCAUAGGCAAAGAGAAUCAUAACAAGAACUCUUUAUAUUGUAAGGAACAUAUUUGAUUUUUUGGUUGUAGAAGCCCUUUGGUUAUUGUCGAUUAUUUAAAUGGACAAAAAUUAGACACUAGAUCAACCCAAAAUAAGUAGUUAACUAUAGAUAUAAAAAAUUUAGAUACAUCCUUCGUCUAAUAAAGAAAUUACUAUUCUAAAAUAAUAUUGGCCACUUAUUAGUUAUAUACUAGUUGUAAGAUCCAUGUAUUACAUAAGUUAAUUUUAAAAAUUAAAAAAUUAAAAAAAGAAAAAAUAAAGUUAAAUAUAAAGGUCAAUAUAUAAAAACUUUGAAUUUAUAAGAAAAUAAGAAAAAUAUUGAAUUAUUAUAAUAGAAAUGGGUUUUAUUUUUUUAAAUUUAAACAAAUAAAUAAAAGAAAAUAAUAAACUUUAAAUUUGAGAAUUCUGAAAUUAAACGGAAAUUAAAAGGUAAGUUAAUUAAUGAAACUAAUAUCCAUUUGUUACUACAUUUAUUGUAAUUAUUAUAUUAAAUUAUUAUGUGGAAUUUAAUAAAAUAAAAAACUCUUAAAAUGACAUGUGGAAAAAAAAUAAUUUAAAAUAACCAUAAAAUGACAUUUGAUAAAUUGAAUAAGAGUGUGACAAGUGACAAAAAAAACAUUUAUUUAUUAGAGAGAAUUUCAAAUAUCAUUUAUUACUAUUGGCAUCUUUGUAAGUAACUGCAUGUGCAUUUUUUUUUUUUUUUGGCAUUUCCCUUUCACCAUGUUACACACGAUGCUGGACUUCAACCAAAGCAGAUUGUUUUAAGAUAUAUGAGCAUGAGAAAAAAACACUGAAAGCUCUUACAAAAGCGGCCUCAAAAAUCAGUUUAACCACUGAUUGUUGGAAGUCAUCUCAUCAGAAGAUUAAGUACAUGGUUAUCACAGGGCACUUUAUUGAUCAUAAUUGGAGGUUUGAUUUCUUUUUCUAUUUUUUAAUAAGACAUGUCCAUUUUAUUUAAUAUAUUCAUAUUGGUAUCUGGACUUGUUUUUUGUAGAUUACAAAAACAUGUCUUGAGUUUUGUACAUAUUCCUCCUCCUCGUACCGGACUUGAUAUUGCUGAUGGUAUUUAUAAAUGUUUGAAGCAUUGGGAAAUUGAGGACAAGAUAUUCACGAUAUCUAUAGACAAUGCUGCAUAUAAUGAUAGGGCGUUGAGAAGACUGAAAGAAAUUUUUUCUAGAGUGAGAAAACUCACGUGUGGUCGGAGGUUGUUUCAUGUUAGAUGUUGUGCACAUGUUUUGAAUCUUCUUGUGAAAGAUGGUCUUGCUAUGAUUGAUUCUGUUAUCAGGGAAGUUCGUGAGGGUAUCAAAUAUAUUAACAAUUCUGAGGCGAGACUUCAAACAUUUUCAAAUAUUGCACAUCAACUACAAAUACAAGAUAGAAAGUUGUUGCUUGAUGUUCCAACACGAUGGAAUUCAACCUAUGAUAUGUUGUCGGUUGCAUUAAAAUUUAAAGAUGUUUUCCCAAGGUACACAUUAGAUUUUAAUAAAAUAGUUUUGAAUGUUGUGAUUUUCAGAUUUUCAAAUACUGCACAUCAUUAAGUUUUUGUGAUUUUCAUAGAUUUGUGGAGUACGAGCCACAUUUCCAUCACCUGCCUNCACCUGCCUAUGAUGAGGAGUGGGUGCAUGUGGAGAGUGUAUGUGAAAUCUUGAAGGUUUUCAAGGUGCAUAUUACCUUUAUUUAAGUAUUAUUUUAAAUAUUUUAUAAUUCCUAAUACUAAAGCAACUUAUUUUCAGGUAUGCACAAAUGUCAUUUCUGGAAGUGAUUAUCCAACAUCCAAUCUGUAUUUGAUUGAGGUGUUUAUAGUAAAAGAAACUUUGGAUAAAGGUGCUCUAUCAAAAAAUGAUUUUAUUAAGACUAUGGUGACUAAGAUGAAGGAGAAGUUUGACAAAUAUUGGGGGGAGUGCCAUCUUGUCAUGGCUAUAGCUUCAGUGUUAGAUCCAAGAUUUAAAAUGAAGUUAGUAGAAUUUAGUUUCCCAACCAUAUACUCCAAUGCUGAAAAGAACAUUGAAGAAGUGAAGAAAGCACUUUAUGAAAUGUAUGAAGAGUAUUUGGAAGUACAUGAUGCAUCAGUCCGAGAAGCUGCAACGCCUGCAAAUGGAUGUGGAGGAAAGGAAGUGUCAAAAACAUCACUCGGGUCCGGAUGGGAGGCUUUUGGGGAGUUUAUAAAAAAUACAGAUUUGGAGAGACCAGAAAAGUCAGAAUUAGAUAUGUAUUUGGAAGAAGGUGUUUAUAGGGACCCGAGACAAAAAGGAAUGGAUUCAUUCAAGGCUUUGGAGUGGUGGAAUGUUCAUAAAUUGAAGUACCGUGUUUUAUCAAAGAUGGCUAUGGAUGUGCUUGCGAUCCCGAUUUCUACAAUUGCAUCUGAGGCAACUUUUAGUGCUGGGGGUAGAGUAAUUGAUCCAUACCGAUCUUCAUUGGCACCAGACACUGUUGAAAAGUUGAUUUGUGGCGGAGAUUGGAUUAGACAUCGUUAUGGAAUCAAGAAAAAAUUAAAGGUACAUUUGAUAAACUUAAAACAUGUGAACUAACAAUUGAUUAUUUAAAUUUAUUAAUAUUUGAUCAUGUUGGUGGUUUCUUUUUACAGAAGGAGGAAAUGCCCAUUGAGGUUUUAUUACCUACAGGGACAAGUAAUACUUAAAGGUGUAAGCCAAUUUUAUUUAUUUGUAAUCUUGUUGUUUUAAUUACCUUAUAUUGCACAUCUCAUCAAAUGUUUUAAUAUGCAGAUUUUGCUGGAUUGAAUUUGCUUUAAGGAAGAUUAGCUUUUGAGUUUUGAUAAUAUGUUAUGUUCAAAUUUAAUCAUUUUUAUAGUAUUUUUGUAAUUUGAACUUCCAUGAUAGGAAGACUUUCUUUUGGAUGAUUUAAUUACAUUUUAGGUUUGUAUGUUGGAGUUUAAAACUUAUGUAAUUUGAAGAUUUUAUUUAUGCAUCUUGGUUGGAAUUUAAGUAGUCUACUAGUCUGCACCUAGCUGAAAAUCAAAUAAAUUUGUGUUUAUUAUUUUUUUAUUAUUUUUUUUAUUAUUAUGGAAUUCAUUUUGUAAACGAGCUUUUAACGAGCUCGAGCCAAGCUUAAGCUCGUUUAAGCUCAGUUAGACAAAACGAGUCGAGCCCGAGUGGAGCCCGAACCGAUGUAUUACUUUACGAGCCGAUCUCGAGCUCUGUUUUUGGGGCUCGAAACGAGCCGAACUCGAGCUCGAGCCAUACAUAUUUUAAGCAAGCCGAGCUCGAGCUUGGUCAGGCUUGGGCUCGGCUCGGCUCGUUUGCACCCCUAGUCAAAACACAUACUCAUACACCAAACUAUAAAUAAGACCUGUUUCAGUACUAAUCUAUGGCUAUAGAUUGAUAGGAACCAGUCCUCUUUUAGAGAAAAAAAAAUUGAUAAACCAAACUAUACAUAAGAACAGUUUCAGCAACAAACUUUUAGGAUGAACUGUAGUGCCAAUACAAGUUUUGGGUUAGUGAUUUUAUGUUUUAUAAUAUAUAGGAGAGAAGCAUUAAUUUCUUGUAAUUAGAUUUAUCACUCUCCCUCCAUGGACAGUAGUUCUUAUGUGUUUUAUAUUUAAAAAUAAAUUUUAAUCGUACUUACUACCAUUAAAGUUUAAUCUAUACCAACUUGAUUUUUUUUUUUUUCAUUAUCAGGUGUUCCAAUAGAGCCAUCAUUGCAAACUACUAGCCUGGUGUAGAUACAGCAUCAGUACUUGCCUGCUGGUAUACUAACUCUUAACCUUUUUUAGUUUUUUUGUUUCUGUCGACACAUGUUCUUACAUAUCUUAAAAAGAAAGAUGUGGCUGAUUUGUGGUGCCCACAAAAGCCAAUUAAAGAUUGCAUUCUUCCCAUGGUAUCCCACCAUUGUUCUAAAAGAAGUAAUCCCGUCACAUAAUAAAAGUUUCAAGCAAAGAAUAUUUAAAUUACAAAAGUUACUUGCCAAAUGAUUUUACUACGAAAUGCAGAAAUGUAUUUAUUAAAAUUCAUAGAAGUACCGAGACCCUCCCUUUUAUUAUUACCUAAUAAAAUAAAUGAACAAGUGAAACCAUCUUUGUAUAUGUGUCGUCUCUCAUCUAUAUGUAGGUCAAGCUCUCACCACUUAGAAAUUUCAAAUAAAAUAGAAUAUUGGUGUGUUGACACAGGUCAAAAAGGGUAAAAUUUUAAUUUGGUUAACUGAAAUUUAAUUUAUUGUGGAGUUGUGAGUACAUAUUUCAUCAUAUAUGUGUAGUAAUAUGAUUCAAGAAGGUUAAGACCUGCAUCAACGAAAAAUAUUUAACUCUGUUAUAUUUGUAAAAACCCCUGAAAUAUUUUCUGUCCUGGAAAAAGACACAUAUAAUUUUUCCUAUCUAUUCUAUCCAAAAUGUCCGUUAAGUAGCCCCAACAGCUACUUUUGUUAAUUUUAAACCAACUUUAAAGCAAUAAUUAAGAAAUAGCAAUGUACCCUUAAAACAAUAAGCAAGAAAUAGGAACACAGUUUUAAACAUCCAAGUUGCCAGCUUUUCUUGCUUAGUGUUUAAAAGUUGGUUUAAAAUUUUUGUUCAAAAUGUACCAGUUGGUAAACAAGAACUUCAUUUCCAUCACACUCGGGACUCCUAUGCAUUUAAAAAUGAAAAAAUUAAUCAGGAACUUUUAGUUAGGACUUAGGAAACAGGAUCAUGUAGUGCAAUCACUCUUAUAGUUGAUUACUUGAUUUAAAAAUAUAUAUUCAUCAAUCAUUUAACCAUCCAGUUAACAAUAAAUACUUUAAAAUAUAAAAAAAAUGCAUCUGUAAUACAUUAGUUAACGAUAAAUAACUCCAAAGGGGUAUUCCACGUAGUUAGUCCAUGAAAAAUAUUUGAAACUUUUUAAAGAUAAAUAUUAACGAUCGUACAAUCUUACUGUGAUCCUACAAAAAACUGAUCUAAUUAAGAUUGUGAUCAAUUUACCUAGGUGGGAUUGUAACAUCGUAGGAUAUUAUGAUCCUAUGAUCAGGAUCGUGAUUUUAACAAUCUUAUUGUAAGUCUCUAAAACCAUAUCAUGGGAGCUUGUUUGAGGCCAUGAAGAGAUUUCUGAAGAUGACACAUAUAGUCUGGGUGAAUGGAGUAACAGAACCCAGGAGGUUGAUGCAUGUAAAUUGUCUCCUACAGUUGACUAUGAAGAAAAGCAUUCUUCGCAUCCAACUGAUGAAUGUGCAAAUGUUUGGAUACAAUAAUGCUAAGAACUGUGCGGAUGGUGGCCGGUUUAACAAUCGAACUGAACGUCUCAUCAUAAUCAAAUUUAGGAUGUUGACUCUCCUCAUUUGCAAUGAGUCGAGCUUUAUCAGUAACAUCAACCUUAUAUUUCUUCUUGAACAUCCAAAUAGAAAGAACUAUGUUGGCCCCUACGGGCCUCAAAACAAGAAUUCAAGUUCCAUUAGAAAUAAGUCAAACUCAUCCUACAUGGCAAUGGUCCAAUUAUGGACACGAAGGGCUUGUAGAUGGGAUUUAGGAAGAGGCGAUUCAUACCUUAUACGAUUCAAUUUUACCCCAAAGUGUUUGGAAAAAAAUGACAAUAAGUGAGUACCUGAUUUAAGAUUUAUUGCUUAACGUUUAAAAGUACGUUGGUAUUUUUAAUGUUUAAAAGUUAGUUUAAAAUUUUAAAUGUACCUGUUGGGAUUACUCUUAAUACCAGUUAUGGCUUUUAAUAACUAUGUUUAUAAGUACUUGUUUUUGUCAAAACAAUACAUGUUGGGGAUUUAAAAUGUUGGUUUUUAUAUGUGUCCAUACAAAAUACCUAAAGUUUCUCCAUACCAGCAACAUAAGGGACCUUUAUUGGAAGGUUGAUUUCUAUGCAGUAAUAACAUCCACUUGUAACAUCCCAAAAUUUCAUGGUAAAAUUUUCAUUUUUAACACAAUCAAAACACCCAUUUAUCUUUUAAACAAACAUUUAGAAGUAUUUCAUAAUAAAAUAGUUACCAGAGUACAAUCCUAAAGUCACAAAGUUGCGGAAAAACAUGGGUAUAUGCGCUGUGAUCAAGUCGGGCCCUUCCCUUUUGAACCGGAAGUACCUAAAAUCAUAAACAAUAAACCGUAAGCACAAAGCAUAGUGAGUUUCCCCAAAAUACAACAUACCAUACAUACAAUAGAGAAUGUUAUGUGCCAGCCAUAGUCUUGCCAUUAUGCCAUGAGUUAUAUCAUGAUCUUGCCAUUAUGCCACGAGUUGUAUCAUGGUCUUUCCUUGCUAAGCCGGGGGCUGAUACCCUGGCUCUUAUAGACAAGUGCUAGGAACCACCUCCUAGUCUUCCAUUCAAGCAUCAUAAAGACAACUAGCAUACAAUCCAGUGUUCUAAAAGGCGCGCCAUGGCGGGUGCCAAGGCGCGCCAUGGCGUGAGGCGCGGCGUCACCGUUACGAAAAGCUUCAUAACGUUGCUGUUAGGCAUGGCGCGUGGCAAGGCAUGAUAUGGCGUGCCAUGGCGCGUGUUUUUUCGUUUGAGACACGUUUUUUUGCUCUUUUUUAUACCUUUUCUAAUCGGACAUACAAGUAUUGUGUUUUUUUAUUAACUUUCUGUUAUUAGUUGUUGAUAUAACACUUGUAAAAACUAGGUAUAUUUGAUAUAAAUUUAUAUUUAUGCGGUAAUAUAAUUAUAAAUUAGUACAAAAUUGCCACCUUACAUCACGCCUUGAAAAACGCCAUGGCUCGCCAUAACUCGUUAAGUUUGAGGCUUGGCCUUGCCGCCACGCCACGCCUCAUGCCUUUUAGAACCUUGAUACAAUCUACAACUAACUAUCUAUUUAACAGCCAGGGUCUGAACCCUAGGCUUGCAUACUGAUUUUCCGGAAGCCACCCUCGGGUAUUUCAAACAAAUACCAAGGGCUACCCCUUAGUCUUCCAAUAAUACAUAAGCUAAUAGGUCAACAUUGGUUCCUUCGAUCUAUAGAUAUAGUGAGAUGACUCACAUUAAACUGCUGAAGCCAUAGAUGAAUAUCUGACUACAACCUCGCUAAAAGUCCCUAUGGUAUCAAUCAACAAAUAACAUCCACUCAAUAAUUGGAUCCUAACUCACACUAAGAGUCCAAAUUAGGGUAAAAGACCUUUUUACCCCUUUCCUGAACUUGGUCCAAGGCCAAGGCCCAAUCCAAUUGUCUAAAAAUCGCAAAAUCCAAAAUGAUCACUCAAGGCCUAAAUAUGGCCCAAUUUUCCAAAUUGGCCCCAAUCCCUUUCAUGGGCCUUUACCCAAGAGAGUCCAUACUAGAAAUAUAAUGACCCAACAAAAACCUAAACUCUUAAGGUCUACACAUCUCCCAAAACCGAGAAGCCCAAACUGAAGCCCACUUGCCGAGUAGGUUACGCGUACUCAGCUCGUACUCUUAGCAUACAUGCUCUGGGGCUGGUAUGUGCAACGUACCAGCUUGAACACACAUCAUACUCCUCAUUUGGCCAACCCAUGUCAAAAAGCACUUAAUCCAUUCAACCCCUACUCCAAACUCUCAAAUCUUGUCUCAAAAGAUGAUUUAUAAUGUGAAAUUGGCAACUUGACGUGCAUGCAUGGCUUAAUGGGGCUCUAGAGCACAAAAGAGCUUAAGAAAUGGUCUUAACACAUGCAUAAGUCCAUAUCCACCAUAAAGUUUGCAUUUUUAGGCUUAAAGGACCCCUAAAAUAUCCAGAUCUAAAAGGGUAAGCUUCUAAAAUGACCAUAGCACACAAGAACCAACCAAAAAGGACCAAAAUAGUCAUAAACAAGCCCAAAAGAAGAUCUAUACAAAGAGUUGACAAGUUAUGGACUUUAUACCUCAAACGUCACAAAAUAAAGAAGCUUAAUCUGGAUCUCUAAGCUCUUCUCCAAAGGUUGAGUCUUCAAUCUUCUUCUUCUACCACUUCAAGAUGCACAAAACACACCAAGCAUCUUUACAAGAGCUCCAAAGCACCAUAUAAAGGCUAAGGAUUAUGGCUUGAAGAUAUGGAGGCUGGUCUAAAAUGUCCAAAAAGUGGGUUAAAGAAGAUUAAAUAUCGCACAAACCCUAAAAAUUAGGGUUUGUCCAAAGCCAACAUAUGCCCAUCGUAACUUAUGCAUGCCUAACGUACGUGGUCGAUGCCCACGACCAUGAUCUAGAUAGUACGCUAAGUGUACUCAUAGAUUACACCCCGCAUACUAGCUAGAGGACCAAAAUGCAAAAAAAUUAUUUAGCAAGGGUUAAAGGGAAAACUUACAAGGUCUGAAUGUUACAAGUUCUCUGUGGGGAGCGCUGAUAUUGUUCGUGAUGAAGAAUGAUGUUUAACAUCGAAUGUGCAUUGAUUACUAGGAGUUGAGCAAGUUAACGGUGUAGAACUGUUAUACCCUUCCGAGGAUUGGUGACCUCUUUGAUCAUUUGAAAGGUGCAUCCAUGUUCUCCAAGAUAGAUUUGAGGUAUGGUUAUCAUCAGGUGAGAGUGAGAUAUGAGGACAUGGAGAAGACCAUAUUCCAAACUCGUUAUGGGCAUUACAAGUUCAUGGUGAUGCCAUUAGGGCUCACCAAUGCGCCUACUAUCUUCAUGGAUUUGAUGAACUGGGUGUGCAGGACAAUGCUCGACCGAUCUGUCAUUGUGUUUAUUGAUGAUAUCUUGGUGUAUUCCAAGACCAGAGAGUAGCAUGAUGGGAUUUUAGUCGAUCCGGCCAAGAUGUAGGUUGUGAUGCAGUGGGAGGUUCCAAAAUCUAUUGGAUUAGGUGUCUAAGCCUAUAACUAUUAAUGGUAUGUACUUGACCCGAGAGUAACAUGGUCCAUUUGGGUUGCAUAUCACCAAGACAAUUUGAUAGGAUAGACUUUUGAGAAGAGGUUAUUUAUGAUUUGUUAAUAUAUUAUAUGUUCUAAUAUAUUAAUAUGAAAUCAUAUUAUUUAAUUAGUAUUGAUAAAUAAUUAAUUUGGAACUAAUUCUGUGAUCAAAAAGAGACUAAUUAAAUAUAAGGGGUUGAUUGGUAAAUCAUUCAUUCUUAUGGUGUGGGCCAAUGAUCCAUGAUUCCUUAGGUUGGGCUAAACCCAUGUGAUAACCCAUGGAUGAUCCAUGGAGGUUUAAACCCAUGGAUCCUAAGGAAUAUGGAAGGUCAUGGCUAUUAAGGCUUGCAUGAUGUAACCCUAAUCUUGCCACACUGUAGAAGAAGCCCUUAUCAUCCAAAAUGGCACUACUAGUGAUCUUGGAAUGCAUGAGCCGAUUUUACGCACUAGAUAUUCUCUCUCAAAAACUUCCUUUGUCCUAGGUGUGUUUGAUUCUAUUUGAGGUGCAACACUUAGGGCACUAAGUUCUUAAAGGUCCAAGGCUUCCAAGUACAACAAAACGUAUGUCAUCUAACUAGAAUUUUUAUAGUAAAGAUACUCUAUUGUAUGCUAGUUAGGAUGAUGCUUUAAAAAAUAAAGUUUGCAUGUAUAUUAGAGAAAACAUAGAUCUAAAGCAUCUAGGGUUUCAUUUACACCAUUGGAGUGUUAGAAUGCUCGAAACCCUUCAGUGGUGUCAGAGCCUAUGGUUGUUUUCCAAUAUACUUGAGGCUACUUGUUUUCAAAGCUUGGAAAAAUCGAUUUUCAACAUUCUGGACAAUGAACUCACCGAGUCCACUGGGGGACUCGUCGAGUCCACUCACAAAACUGACCAAGUCGCCGAGUUUGUUCAUUCACUCGACGAGUUGGUGAUCCAGAAUGCAUAUUUUCGAAGUUUUUGGCUAGAAUUGGACUAGUAUCAUUACCCUAAGCUAUUUUUGAACUUAUAAACCUAUUUUUGAUGUGGUAAUGAUUAUGCUUAUCCAAUUUAAAACAAAAUUUUUAAAGGUUCAUGUUUUGUAUUAGUUUAUAUUGUUAGGCUAAUUACAUGAAAUUUGUUUGAUAUGAAUUAUCUUGUUCAUAUGAGUUUUAUCUAGAUCAUGAACAUUACUUGACAUGCUUAUUAGUGUUUGAUGAUCUUGAUGGCCUUUAAUUUACUCCACAACUUGUCCUCAAGUUAUGGAAAAUGAAAAGUUUUUUCAUUUUAAAAAUAUCAUUAAAGUCAUAGGUUAUGUACUUGAAGAGUCUUUUUCCCAUAAAUAGUUUUAUGAACUCCAUAACUUGUCCUCAAGUUAUGGAUUUUCAAGGCUUUUCAUUAAAGCCUAUAUUAAACUCAAAUGUUAUGGAUUCCAAAAGUUUUUGAAAAGUUCAAAAUUUUCCCUCAAGUUUUGGAAUUUGUAAAUGUAGAGUCUUCUUUUGACACAUUUAGUUCCAAACCCUAGAAUUUUAAAUGUUUAAAAUUCAACCUUAUACUAUUAUAAUAUUAUAGGUUUAAUAUAUAUAUAUAUAUAUNAUGUAUGUAUAUAUGUAUAAGAAUAUAGUCAGUGUUACCGUUAGUAGGCCUCAUUCAUGAAGCCGGUCUAUAAGAGGGGUAUAAGGUUACUGCCUAUAAAAUGGCAGUUUAAUGGGUGUCCACUCUCACCCACCGCUUCCUUAAUUGAUGGAGGGUCGUUAGUCGAACGGGUUCAAUAGGAGAUUUUAAUUUUUAUUAUAAGUAUAAUGAUAAUUAUAAAGUAACUAAACUUUCAUUAAAUUCCCAAUCUUAGUUACUUUAGGAAAAAUGUGAAUUUGGUGCUAAGCCAUGAAAUUGCACUUUGCACCUUGUUAAGUCAUUAGUGGAGCGUAUGUGGUUAACCGGCACACUAAUCUGGAUUGACAGUGUGUGGCAAAGGGUAGCUUGAUGUUAAUCAUAGAUCAAUGGAGUGUGUGUGGUUAACCGACACAUUGAUUAGGUGGUUGUAAUGUAACAUCCCGAGUCCAGGUAUACUUUGUGAACCUUGAUCUAUUGAGUUGUUGUCUAUUUUUGUGCUUAAUAUAAAAUGAGUGAAAAAUGAUUACGCGGGGCGUACCUGAGGAGCACACUUAGCGUACUCAUCAGUGUGCAUGUGACACAGAGACCACCUAGUACAUUAGGCGUAACUGUGGGUAUGCUGGGCGUACUAGGCCGAGAGUGCAAACCCUAAUUUAGGGUGAGUCCCCUAUAUAAAGGAUAUGAUGACCUCAUUCCUGGCCACCAUUCCCAGAGAGAAAACGCUAAGAGGGACCUAACCCUCGUUCUAGAGCUUGUGUGUGUGUGUGUGUGUGUGUGUGUUUGAGCCUUGAGAGCUUUUGUGUGGUUUUGAAGAGAAGAGGAGGUCUUGAAGAAGAAGGAGUUGGAGUCCAUGCUUCUAGAUUCGAGAAAAUCUGAGUGGGAAGCUUCUUGUUGAGGUAUAAAGCUUCACUCUUUACCUCUCUUUUGUUAUGAGCAUCUUAUUUGAGUAUUUCAGGGUUUUGUUCCAAAAAGGUGGAGACUUGAUGAGAUCUUGAACUCCAGAGACGAGGACCAAACCCUUUUGAGAAUAUGAGUAGCGCAAAGUCAAAAAAAAUCAAAUCUUGGUCGUUGAAAUCACUCCAUGCAUGAGUUAUGAGCUCCUUGAGGCAAAAGAGUGUAUAUUUUGAGGUUGGUGACCAUUUCAGCCAUGCAAAGGCUUAAAGUCACCGACUAUUCUUGGAAUGUACUUGACCCAAUUAGCAUGGUCCAUUUGGGUCAUGGCAUUGUAACACUUGGAUAGACUAAAUGAGAGAAAGGAUACUAAAGGUUUAUUAAUAUAUUAUAAGUUCUAAUAUAUUAAUAAUAGUAUUUAAUUAGUAUUGAUCAAAGAAUUAUUUUGGAAUUAAUUAAGUGAUCAAAAAGAGACUAAUUAAAUAUAUAGGGUUGAUUAUGUAAAUCAUCUAAUCUUGUAUAGUGGGCUAAUGAUCCAUUGUUUGUGUGGAUUGGGUUAAAACCCAUAAGGUGCUCCGUGGAUAGUACAUGGAGGUUACAAACCCAUGGAUCAUGGAACAUGAAAUGCCAUGACAAUUAGGGUUUACAUGGUGUAACCCUACUUGUAACACAACUAUAUAAAGACUCCAUGGAUGACUAAAAUCGGCACUACAAGAAAGUAAUAGAGGGCUAGCCGAUUUUGAGGUGUAAGUGAACUUCUCUCAAAGUUAUUCUAAGUGUUGUGGUGUUGUGUGAAACAUUUGAGGCAUCACACAUGAGGUCCUAGGCUCACAAGGUUUUCAAGGAAUCCAAGCAACUAAAAUGUAUGUUCUUCUACUAGCAUUUAUGUUUUAAAGUUCCCCACGACAUGCUAGUUAUAUUAAGAACCUUGGAAAAUCAUUUUGCAUGUAUCUUAGUAAAACAUAGAUCCAAGGUUUCUAGCGUUGCAUGUACACCUUAAGAGUGUUACAAUGCUCAAAAACCCUUCAAUGGUAUGAGAGACUAUGCUUGUUUAUUUAAUACUUGAUGCAAACUUGUUAAGAAAAUCGACAAAACUGCCUUCUGCUGAGUGAACUCGUCGAUUCCAAGGGGGGACUUGAUGAGUCCAUGCUUAUAUUCAACCAACUUGCCGAGUCAGUUCUUGCACUCGACGAGUUGGCUUGUCAAAGUGCAGUUUUUCGACUUUUGCUGCUAGAAAUGGGCUAGAAUCAUUACCCUAAACUGUUUUGGUGUUAUAACACUUGUUUUAGAUGGUGUAAUGUUUAUGCUAAUCCAUUUUCAAAGGGUAAUAUCAAAUUUUCAAGCUUUGUAUGGUUUAUUUAUGAUUCUUGAAAUUGUUGAUAUGAACAUUCAUGAACUUAUGAGUUUAGAAGAUCAUAGGAAUUAUUUGUAACUUGCUUGUUGUUUUAAUUCUUGAUCAUGAUGUGUUUUAAUGGAAUCUAUAGUUUAUCCUCAGGUUAUGGAUUACCAAAAGUCACACUUUUAAAGUCCAUUAUUAAACACAUAGGUUACAUGAAAUGAAAUGUCUCUCAUAUUAUUAAUCCAUUAACUCCUAAGUUAUGAAAGUUGAAAAGUUUUGAAAGUUACAAAACGUUCCCUCAAGUUUUGGAACAUGUAAAGCUACUUUAAAAAACUUUAGUUCCAACCCCUAGAAUUUUAAAAGUUAAAUUUUAACCCUUAUACUUUAUAAUAUUAUAAGUUAAUAAUAUAUAUAUAUAUAUAUAUAUANNNNNNNNNNNNNNNNNNNNNNNNNNNNNNNNNNNNNNCGUUUCACCGUUUGUAGGCCUCAGUCAUGAAGCCAGUCUAUAAGGGGGUAUAAGGUUGUUACUAAUAAAAUGGCAGCUUAAUGUGUGUCCACUCUCACCCACCGCUUCCUUCACUGGUGGAGGGUCGUUAGCCGAAUGGGUAAGACAAUGAAUUUAAUCCUCAUUAAAAGUAUGAAGAUUGUAAAGUAACUAAUUUUUUUUUUUUUAUAAAUUCCCAAUAUUUGUUACUUUAGGAAAAUGUGAAUAAGGUGUAUCCCAUGAAAUUACACUUUGCACUUUGUUUAAGUCGUUAGUGGAGCAUGUAUGGUUAACCGACACACUAACCUGGACUUAAUAUGGUAGGAAAAGGGUGGCUUAAGGUUUAUCAUAGGUUGUUGGAGUGUGUGUGGUUAACCGGCACAUCGAUUGAGUGAUAAACAUUAAGAGUAGCAAGUAAUUUGCAUGGUUACUUCACACCUUGUUUUGUGUUCCUCGGCAUCCCAGUCACAAAACUUGAAUGGAACACUCGAGAUUGAAACAUGCCAUUUAAAACUUCAAUGAAUCUCAAAGAACGUAGGAGUUUCAAAAAGCAAUUAAAACCUAAUAUUUUAUUUCGUUUUUCAUGGUGGAAAUUGGUGAAUCGUCAUUCACCUACCUUGAAAUAUUUUAUAGCUUGGAUUACAGCAUCCCUCUUCUAAGUUAUAAAAUAUUGUGUUGGGUCCUAGCCUUAAUAUUACAUUUGGGUGUCUUAUUAAUGACUAUCUUUAUAUCUAAUCUAAACUUGUUUUUCUUCUUUUUCAGAUGUCUUCUAACAAUGUUGCUUUUGGCUCAAACCCUACCGGCUCCUUCUCUCUUAUGAACCUUUGUGGGAGAUUCAUCUUUGAUGGUUCCAACUUUAUGGAUUGGAUCGGGAACAUCAGGAUGGUCACUCAUUAAGAGGACAAAGAAUAUGUCCUCGACAAGAAGCUGAAGGAACUCGAUGAGUCAUCUGCUACUCUUGAGGAGAUCGUGGAAUUCCGGACUCAUGAGAGAGAUGCCAUGAAAGUGUCAUGUAUCAUGUUGGCCACGAUGACAGCUGAGCUCAUCGAGUUGAUGGACCACUACCAUCAAAGUGCUCGCCACUAUUACCCUUUUGAGAUGCACCAGGACUUGAUGGACCACUACCAUCAAAGUGCUCGCCAAGGAGGUAUAACAUCAUCUGCUCCAUGAUAACAACCCGGAUGAAGGAUAGAGAACCCAUCACCGGCCACUUAUAGAAAAUGCAAAGGUAUGUGGACCGUUUGUUGAAGCCAAAUGUGAACUUCCCAGAGGAGUUGACAAUUGACAUCAUUUUGCACUCCUUAGCUUCUUGUUUUGAUCAAUUCCGAAUGACAUACCACAUGAAAAAGGAGGAAGUCACACUUAGCAAACUUCAAGGACUCUUGAAGACCGUCGAAAGUGGUCUUAAGGGUAAACCGGUUGUUACCACUCCUACUCCUACCGCGGCCCCUAUCUUGGUAAUCCGGCAAGGCAAAGGGAAGAAGAGGAAGAGCCCUUCGAAGGGCACCAAGGGAAAGUCUCUUGAUGGCUCAUCUUCAAGUGGAACCAAGAAAGGUUAUGUCACUCCUUUUGCUAACCCUAAAGCGGCUGAAUGCUUCUAUUGCCACGAAAAGUCGCACUGGAAGCGAAACUGCCCAAAGUACCUACAAGAUGUGAAGGAUGGGAAAGUAAAACCCAACCAUGCAGGUAUUUACACUAUAUUGUCUAAUAACUCACCCAUUCUAAUUCUUGGGGGCUUGAUACCGGUUGUGGUAUUCAUAUUUGUUCUGACUUGCAGGGACUAAGAAGAAGUGAGGAUGUGGAGCAUGGAAAGAUACACUUAAUCAUAGGGAAUCAGAAAGCUUCACAUGUCACCAAGAUUGGAGUUUAUACUUUGUUGCUAAGUAGUGGGUUAACUUUAGAUUUGAAUAAAUGUUGUUACUCGUUUGAAAUGGAAAGAAAUAUUAUUUCCUUUCAUGCUUGGUACAAACAAGGGUUUACCUUUUCUUUUGAUAAUGAAUGUGGUGGUAUUAAUGCUUUCUUUAAUAAUGUUCUUUAUUUUAAAGCAUUACCUUGUGAUGGUGUGUAUGAAGUUGUGUCGAUUGUAGAUAACCUAGGAAAUAAUAUGUUGUGUAUUGAUUCUUCCACUAGCUUGGAUAAAGCAUCAUUGUGGCAUUGUCGUCUUAGACAUGUAAGCAAGAAACGCAUAGGCCAACUCCAAAGGGAUGGAGUGUUGUACUCAUUUGAACUAAAGUCGGAUGAUAGUUUUGAAUCUUGUCUACUUGGAAAAAUGAGAAAAUCACCAUUCACUGGUUCUUGUGGUAGGGUUGAAGGUUUGUUGGAUCUGGUACACACGGAUGUGUAUGGACCCUUCAGAACCGCCAUAAGGGAUGCUAACCGCUUUUAUGUGACUUUCACUGAUGAUUGUAGUAGAUAUGGAUAUGUCUACUUAAUCAAGCAUAAUUCAGAAACCUUUGAAAAGUUCAAAGAGUUUAACCAGGCAGUGGAGAACCAAUUGGGCAGGAACAUUAAGAUGCUUCGAUCCGAUCGAGGAGGAGAGUAUCUUAGUACCGAGUUCCUUGACUAUCUUAAGGAAUGUGGGAUUGUCUCACAAUUGACACCUCACAGGACACCACGACUUAAUGGUAUGGCUGAAUGGCGUAAUCGAACCUUGUUGGACAAGGUUCGUUCAAUGAUGAGUCGAGCUUCGCUACCAAUCUCAUUUCGGGGGUAUGCCUUAGAGACUGCCACUCAUGUUCUAAAUCUAGUCCCUACAAAGAAGGUUGCCAAAACACCUCACGAGAUGUGGACUGAAAAAGUUCCCAAUCUAGACCACAUCAAGAUUUGGGGUUGCAAGGCUUUCGUGAGGCACGAGACUCACGAUAAUCUCGAACCACGAAGUGAGAGGUGUAUUUUCAUCGACUACCGACAGAAAUCCUUUGGUUACCUCUUCUACAGACCCAUUGAUAAUGUGGUCUUUGUAGUGAGGAGGGGAGUCCUUUGCGGGAGAGAGUUCAUAAGAAAAGGAAACAGUAGGAGGCAAUUUAAUCUUGAAGAAAUUCAAGAGUCAAGUGGUAAAGGAACCUGAAACCCUAGCAAUCAACCUGAGGAGGAAACUCUUGUUGAUUCGACAGAUGAAUUUGUACCUCUGAAGCGUUCCACAAGAGUUAGGAAUGCACCUGAGCAUUACUACGGUUUCCAUAUUAGUGCGGAAGGUGAUACACUUAUCAGUGAUAAUAGGAUGGUAAGUCUGGAUGAACCUAACAGCUAUACGGAUGCCAUGGCAGGCCCUGAGGCUGCUAAAUGGAAAGAGGCUAUGGACAACGAGAUAUAGUCCAUGUAUGACAAUCAAGUUUGGGACUUAGUUGACAAUGUACCAGGUCAUAAUACAUUUUGGUGCAAAUGGAUCUUUAAGAAAAAGACCGACAUGAAUGGUAAUAUAGACACUUAUAAGGCGUGAGUGGUUGCAAAGGGCUUUUCUCAAACUCUGGGAGUUGAUUAUGAUGAGACUUUUUCAGUAGUAGCUAAGAUUAAGUCUAUUAGGGUUGUCUUAGCCAUUAGUGCAUUUCAUGAUUAUGAAAUAUGGAAAAUGGAUGUAAAAAAUGCUUUCCUUAAUGGAAAAUUGGCUGAGGAUAUUUACAUGAGUCAGCUAGAGGGUUUUGUCAGUACAGAGUACCCUAAUAGAGUGUGUAAGCUUGAGAAAUCCAUUUAUGGAUUGAAACAAGCACCUCGCAGAUGGAAUCUUUGUUCCAAUGAGAAAGUCGAGAGUUUGGCUUUUCGAGGAGCGAAGAUGAAUCAUGUGUAUAUGUCAAGGUUAGUGGGAGUAUAGCUAGCUUUUUGGUAUUGUAUGUGGAUGGCAUAAUACUAAUAGGAAAUGACAUCCCAACUCCGCUGGAAGUGAAAUCCUAGCUUGGGAAGUGUUUCGCUAUGAAGGACCUUAGAGAAGCUGCCUAUAUCCUAGGGAUAAGGAUUUUAAGAGACAGGAGUAAAAGACCAAUUGGACAUAGUCAGAGUACCUACUUGGAUCAAGUGUUGAAUAGAUUCAGCAUGCAGAAUUCCAAGAAAGGAGAGUUACCAAUCCAGAGUAACGCUAUACAUAGUAAGACUUAGAGCCCAAGUACAGAGGCUGAGAUAGCUGAGAUGAGUUGAGUACCGUAUGCUUCCGUUGUAGGCUCGAUCAUGUAUGUUAUAACUUGUACUCGUCCUGAUGUGGCCUUUGCAUUGAGCAUGGUCUGCAGAUAUUAGGGGAACCCUGGCAAGGCUCACUGGACUGCAGUAAAGAACAUUCUCAAGUAGCUGCGGACGACUAAGGACUGGGUCCUUACCCUCGGUGGGAGUGAUGACUUGAGAGUAGUAGGGUAUAGUGAUGCUAGCUUCCAGACUGAUAGGGAUAAUUUCCGCUCUUAGUCAGGCUGGGUCUUUACCUUAAACGGAGGAGCAAUUACUUGGAAAAGUUCCAAGCAUGAGACAGUGGCUGACUCAACUCGCGAAUCAGAGUAUAUAGUGGCAAGCGAGGGAGCAAAGGAGGCUAUAUGGCUAAAGAAAUUCAUUGGACACCUUGGGGUUGUACCAGCCAUAAAGGAGCCUAUGGAAAUUUUCUGUGAUAGUGAAAGUGCAGUUGCCUUAGCCAAGGAACCAAGGGUGUUGGAUAAGGUGUCUAAGUCCAUAACUUAUUUGGUAUAUACUUGACCCGACCCGGCAUGGUCCAUUUGGGUUGCAUUUCAUCCAAACUAUUUAUGGAUAAUUUUAUGAGAGUUAUACACAUAUGAUUAUUAAUAUAUUAUAAGUUAUAAUAUAUUAAUAUGAAGUCAUGUUAUUUAAUUAGUCUUAGUCUUAAAUUAAUUAUGAAUUAAUUUAGAGAUUAAAAGGAAGACUAAUUAGAUUGUGGGCUAUUGGUUUUAUAUAGUGUGGGCUAACACUCAUUUGUUAAUGGGCUAGGCUUGUAUGGAAGUCCAUGGAUGAUCCAUGGAGCUUUUAACCCAUGGAUCCUUGGAAAAGGAAAGGUCAUGGGUUAUUAGGGUUUCACCCUAAUCAUGUACACUAUAUAAGCAUGUAUAUGUUGCAUGAAAUAGCCACUAGUGUCACUAGUGUGUGUGCUUUUGUGUGGCCAAUUUUGUAGUGUGUAUACACUCUCUCAGAGUUUUCCAAGAGUUUGUGGUGCUUUGUGAUUCCAUUUGAGGCAUUCACACUAUUGGUGCUUGGCCCUCAAACUCCUUAGGAAUCAAACUCAUCAUCAAAAGGUAUGUAAUCUCAUCUAAUUCUUUUAUGUUUAAAAGUACCCCAUGCCAUGUUAGAUAGGUUAUGAACCUUGGAAAAUUAUUAUUUUGCAUGUAUUUAGACAAACAUAGAUCCAAGGUUUAUUAGGGUUGCAUGCACACUUAGGAAGUGUUAGAUUGCUCAAAACCCAACAGUGGUAUCAGAGCCUAGGCUUGCUUGUUUGAUACUUGAUGCAAAAUAGUGAAAAAAGUUGAAAUUGUUGCUGUCUGGCUGAUGGACUCGCCGAGUCCAUGGGGGGACUCGCCGAGUUCAAGGCAAAAUUCAUCCUACUCGGCGAGUAGGUUCGUGCACUCGGCGAGUAGAAUGAUCAGAAUGCAGAAUUUCGACUUUUGCUGCUGGAAAUGGACUAGAAACAUUACCCUAAACUGUUUUGGUGUUUUAAAACUUGUUUUAGUUGGUGUAAUGGUUGUUCUAAUCCAUUUACAAUAGCAUAUAUCAAAAUUCCAUGAUUUUUAUGUGUUCAUAUAAUUCUUGAAAUUUUGAUGAUCAUGUUCAUGUUCUUAUGAAUUUAGAAGAUGAUAGGAAUUAUUUGCUGAAUUGUUUAGAAUUAAUUCUUGAUCAUUUAUGUGUUUUAAUGGAGUCCAUAAUUUGUCCUCAAGUUAUGGAUAUCCAAAGGUCACUUUUCUUUAACACACACAUUUAAACACAUAAGUUACAUGAAAAUGAAGAGUCUUCAUUUUUAUGAACCUUUAAUUCAUAAGUUAUGAAAUGAAAAGUUUUGGAUAGUUACAAAACUUGCCCUCAAGUUUUGGAAUUUGAAAAGUUUCACACACUUUAAUAAACUUUAAUUCCAACACUUAGAGUUUUAAAAGUUAAAAUUCAACACUUAUACUAUUUAUAACAUUAAUGGUUAAUUAUUAUAUAUAUGUAUAAGAACAAGUCGUUUUACCGUUAGUAGGCCUCAUUCACGAAGCCGGUCUAUAAGGUGGGUAUAAGGUUGUUGCCUAUAAAAUGGCGACUUAAUGGGUGUCCACUCUCACCCACCGCUUGCUUGAUCGGUGGAGGGUCGUUAGCCGAACGGGUAGGACAAUGACUUUAAAUUCUCAUUAAAAGUAUAAUGAUUAUUAUAAAGUAACUAAAAAUUUUUUAUUUAAUUCCCAAUCUUAGUUACUUUAGGAAAAAUGUGAAUUUGGUGCUAGCCCAUGGAAUUCACACUUUGUACCUUACCAAGUCGUUGGUGGAGCGUGUGUGGUUAACCGGCACACUAACUUGGACUAGUAAGGAUCACGAAGGGUGACUUAAUGUUUGUCAUAGAUCAAUGGAGCGUGUGUGGUUAACCGGCACAUUGAUUAGGUGAUAAUAUUAAGGGUACCAAGUGAAUUGGUAUGGUUAUUCACACCUUGUUUUGUGAUCCUCGGCAUCCCAGUCACAAAAUUUGAGAGGGCACACUCGAGAUUGAAACAUGCCAUUGAAAAGUUCAAUGAAUCUCAAAAGAUCUAGGAAUUUCAAAUCCAAUUAAAACCUAAUAAAUUAUUUCGUUUUUCAUGGUGGAAAUUGGUGAAUCGUCAUUCGCCUACCUUCAAAUAUUUUAUAGCUUGGAUUACGGCAUCCCUCUUCCAAAUUAUAAAAUAUUGUGUUGGGUCCUAGCCUUAAUAUUUCAUAUUGGGUGUUAUAUUAAGGACUUUGAAUCAACUAACUUGAUUUUCUCCCAUUAUAGAUGUCUGGUUCAGACAACUAUGAUCUUCCCAAAUCUCUUGAAGAUGGUGUCCCUCAACAUCAUGCUUCACUUCCUCCACCUCCUCCAAUUAUUCUCCCUCACCCACAAGUUCUUGAAAAGUUUAAAGUCACUCAAUCCCUAUUGGCAAGCAUAGUCUAUGUGUGCUCACAUCUUGGAGAUAAAGUCACAUAUUGACAAGCCGGGAGAGUUGGGUGUCAAAGUCUCGUGAAAGUUGGAUGUUCAAUCACUUUCUUAGUAACAUAGUGAGUCUCUUUGGGACUACUAUGAGACAGACUAUGACAUGACCCUUAAUGAUGUUAUCUAUUUGCUUGGUGUUGUGGAAUCAGCAAUGAUUUGGAACACCAGUAAAGCAAAUUUGAUUAAAAGAACAACUUCCCAAGUCUUAAAUGGACAUUGACAAUGGUAGCAUUGGAUAUCUAGAAAAGGAUUUCUCUUCCCAAUGGAAAGGGAUCGGCCAUAGUCAACUCGGUUGACCAAAUGGUAAAGAGAAAGGCUAAGUCUGAGAUAGUCUCAUGUGCCAUUACCAAAGGGUCCAUGUGUUUUGUUGCCAAAGGAAGGGGCAUUGGUUGCGAAGCUGCCCUAUUCACCUGAAAGGUCAUAAGGUUGAUCAAGUCAAGAGGUUUGACUCUACUUCGGGUAAAGUCCACUGUCUAACUCUAUUAAGUUCCUAUUUGGAGAUUCUUAUUACAUAAUGUGAAUGGGUCACAUGCUGAUGUUUUUAAGAAUCAAAGAAAAGAUAGGAAGCUUAAAGUAAGUAUAUGUUGAUUCUGAUUGCGAAGGUGGGUUUCGAUCGCAUGGUUCGGUAAUCAGAAUUUUGAGCUGUUGCUUAAGAGUUAUAAUAUAUUGCUUAUGAAUAGAUAACAACAAGGUUUUCAUGUGGAUUGUAAGGAUAAGUUUUUCCGCAAAGUUUUAAAAAAAAAAAAAAAAAGGGUUUUAAUUUUAUUUAUUUUAAAAAUAUCCUUACAAUGGCAUCUGUGGAAAAUUGUUGCUUAUAUGUUUCCAGUAAUAGCAAUAUUGGAAAGUGGAUUUGAUUCUUUCAUUUGUGGUAGUGUCUGAAUUUACCAAAUGAAGAAAGUUUUUCAUCACCCAAGUUUCAAUUGGACAGAAACUUGGAAUCAUACAAGUUGUAUUGUAUGAUGAAUGAGAAUUUUCAUCUUUGAAAAUUAAGACUAAUUCUUUGAUCACAUGUAUAUGUGAGUCAAUUGAAGGACUAAGGAAUUAGGUACACUGGGUGUGCGCUGGUCAAGGUCCACCACAAAGAUUGAUUUGUCAUGAUUUACUAAAGAUUAGUAAAUAUGAUUAUACUUAUGAGGUUAAGUAUAAUUCUGUAACAUUGGAAAGGUUACAAUGUAUGACAAAACAAAUGAGAAGAAUCAAAUUAGGCAGAAAGAUAAAAGUUUCUCAAAUCUGAAAGGAUGGGAGAGUACUUUAGUAUCGUAUUUCAUGAUCAUCUUAAUGAUUAUGAAACCAUAUCACAAAUUCAUACUCUAAGGACGUCUUAGUGCAUUGUUAUGGCUAAGAAGAGAGGUCAUGAAUUGUUGGAUUGGUUAAAAUCAAGAAGAUGAGUCAUACUUCGUUCCAAAACAAUUCUUAGAGUCAUACUCCAAGAUUGUAACUUUGAGUGACAUAAAGGAAGAUUUAUUAACACUAGUCAAAUGUAAGAGUAAAAUGUUUUCUACUCUUGUACAUUUGAGAUUGGUAAGUUGUGAUGUCUUGGAUGAGACAAAGACCAACUAAGACCAAUUGUGUGAAGUGUUAGUCUUGAUAAGAAUCCGCACUAUCCCUUGAAUAUUUGUUUUGUCAAGGAAUGGUUCUUGACUGGGGAAACUUAUAUGUCAAGGGGACAGUGGGAGCCUUAAAGAUCCUGAAAGAGUUUCAAGAUUUAAUCAAGAGUAAAACCUGUAAUUUAUCACUAGCACACGACUUAAGGUUUGCAACCUAUCGUGUUGACAUAAUUCUUAUUUCUGUACCUACUUCAAAUAAGUUGAAUUUGCAUGUGAGUUAUCAGAGUUCAACUUGGAAGCAUUGGUGGGCCUUGUGCUACCAAGGUGACAAGAAACUAAGAUUGAACAAGUUUAAUCCAUGUAAGGCUGAAUUUGUCACUAACCUUAUCUUGUGAUUAUGGUUUUGACAAAUUCACAUGGAUAGGAACUCAUACACUAUAAAAUCUAAGUGUCAUAAGGUUUCUCUCCGAUUCAUGAAAAUGAUGGUGAGGAAACGCUUUCACUAAGUAGAUUUUACGUAGAUAUCAAUUGUGUUAUUUGCAUUUUCAAAAGUCGUUAGUGGAGCGCGUGUGGUUAACCGGCACACUAACAUGGACUUGUGAGAAAUGGCAAAUGCCUAAGCAAUUGAGACUAUGAUUACGGCAUCCCUUUUCAUAGUUCUGAAAAUUGUUUAGACACACAUGUGAGCUAUCUAAGAAAGGGUGUAUGAAUCUAAAUUUCAGAAGUCCAGCAGAUUUCUGGAAAUAUGUCAGAGCUAGUGGGAGCAUAAGUGUUAUGCUGAUAAUCAUCAUGUUAGUGGGAGCAUGAUUAUUACGUUUAGUGUUGCAAGUUAGCAAUGUUAAUUAUAGAAAACAAAGUUUCAAUUCGUGAAGUUGCAGGGGUUGAAAAGUUGUUUUGCUAUAAUUAAGGGAGAGGAAAUUAUACUUCAUUUCAAUUCUAAAGCUUAGAUUGAGAUUUUAAUCAUCUUUAGUCAAGAAUAUAUAUAUGAAUUUUAUGUUGGAAUGGUUCAACUUGAAGAAAUUCUAUAUAUAUUGCGUUUUCAAAAUUCGAUUAUGAUUACGGCAUCCCUCUUCAUAGUUAAAUUUUGAAAACAUGGCAAAUAAAAAAUAUUGUAGCAAAAGACUGGUCUAGUAUCAUGUCUUUAUGUCAAACAUCAUGAAUCGUGUCCCAUAUGCUUCGGAUAUAGGAUCGAUUGCAUGUGCUAUAAUAUUCAUCUUUUCUAAAUUUUCCAAAUGCUUAAGGCAUUGAGAAGGGAAAAGUCUAGAACUGGAUAUGACUAAAGUGAUUAAGCAAUUGUCGAGGACAAUCUGAGGUUCGCCAAAGAUUGGUUGCUCAGGGAAAGUUGGAAGUAUGAUGUAAGUUGUCGGAAAGGACCAUAUUGACAUAUUCUGAAAAGAAGUAACUCUUGUUCGGAAGUGAUAGUCAAAAUGGGACUAUGGAAAUGUCUCCAUAGGUGGAAGUUAUUCAAUCUAUGUAAGAUUAGAAAACCUUAAUGCAAGAAGGAUGUUCAAAGCAAUGUACUUUGAAUAUGAGACUUCCGUUCCAUAGAAGUUGACCUUCUUUGGAAUACUCUGUAAUGACUGGUGACAAGGUUUUGGUGACUUUGUGCAUAAUCAUUACAAGAGGAACAUUGCAUAAAAGUUUAAAAUCUAACAGUUUUUUUGGUAAAUGAUAGGAAUCGGGGAUUCUCACAUUUACAAUAAGGAUUUGGGAUUGUGAAAUGAGUAUCAUUGGAAUCAUGUUCAAUUGAUCUACAUCACAAUGUAAGGAUCAUAGACAAACAUAGUGUGCAUACUUGGAGUAUGGCAUAACUAUUGUUUAGAAAAACAAAGUGUACAUGCUAGGAGCAUGGGACGACUGUUGUUUUUAUUCAAGUCUUAAGUUGAUUGUUUGAAACAUUAUACAAUGAAUAAUGUGUAAUCAAUAUGGUGAUAAAUAAAAGGUGGUUCUAUUUAUAUUCAAAAGGGUUCUGAGACCAUAUUGGAUUCGAUUAUUAUUGUGUUUCACUUUGCAUGUUUUGACUUCCAAAAUAGCUAGGUUAUUCUUUCCGAAUGACUAAGUUAUUUAAACACUCCACAGUCGUUCAUAUGUUGGAAGUAGGUAUGAAUCAAGACUGUCAUGAAUCGAGUUUGUAGAUGGCUAAAUGGGUUUAGUCAUAGCAAUGGUUGCUACAACAUUCAUGAGUGCUCAUAAGUUAUGAGUAUUGGAAUAAACCCACGCUCACUUGUAUCACUUCAUGGAAUUUAUCUCGAGUGAUCGUGAGACGGUAAUAUCAUAUAAAUCUUCAAACCUAGAGAUAUGAGUUGUUACCUAUGAGUUGGUUGUGCAUUGAUUGCACGUAAACGCAUCAGUAACUUGAUGUUAUAAAACGUGCCUUUGUGUACAAUUCAACAAGUAGUAGAACAAGCAUAUGAGUCGAAGUUUAUCUGUUCCUUCUAGAAAUAGAAGCGAUAUCUGGGCCCCUCGAUGAUUUUGUUGUGACCUAUGUACCGGCCGGUCAGAACUAAAUUGAUGUGUUCGAUUAAGUUCUUUGUCAAACAAAUCGAAAAUCGGGAAACAAACUGCUGGACAAUAAGUACGACGUUGUUCCAUGUAUUUGUCCGGCUGAUAUCAUGAGAACAGAGGAUUAUAUGAUCACUUAUCUAAAAUGGCGCUUCAUAGUUCAACAGAGUUUUCGAGAGCUACGAUUGCUGGUUGGUUCCUGAAGUAACAUACGCAAAUAUAGUUAUUAGACUUAUCCAAGUGGGAGUGUGUUGGAUAAGGUGUCUAAGUCCAUAACUUAUUUGGUAUAUACUUGACCCGACCCGGCAUGGUCCAUUUGGGUUGCACUUCACCCAAACUAUUUAUGGAUAAUUUUAUGAGAGUUAUACACAUAUGUUUAUUAAUAUAUUAUAAGUUAUAAUAUAUUAAUAUGAAGUCAUGUUAUUUAAUUAGUCUUAGUCUUAAAUUAAUUAUGAAUUAAUUUAGAGAUUAAAAGGAAGACUAAUUAGAUUGUGGGCUAUUGGUUUUAUAUAGUGUGGGCUAACACUCAUUUGUUAAUGGGCUAGGCUUGUAUGGAAGUCCAUGGAUGAUCCAUGGAGCUUUUAACCCAUGGAUCCUUGGAAAAGGAAAGGUCAUGGGUUAUUAAGGUUUCACCCUAAUCAUGUACACUAUAUAAGCAUGUAUAUGUUGCAUGAAAUAGCCACUAGUGUCACUAGUGUGUGUGCUUGUGUGUGGCCGAUUUUGUAGUGUGUAUACACUCUCUCAGAGUUUUCCAAGAGUUUGUGGUGAUUUGUGAUUCCAUUUGAGGCAUUCACACUAUUGUUGCUUGGCCCUCAAACUCCUUAGGAAUCAAACUCAUCAUCAAAAGGUAUGUAAUCUCAUCUAAUUCUUUUAUGUUUAAAAAUACCCCAUGCCAUGUUAGAUAGGUUAUGAACCUUGGAAAAUUAUUAUUUUUCAUGUAUUUAGACAAACAUAGAUCCAAGGUUUAUUAGGGUUGCAUGCACACUUAGGAAGUGUUAGAUUGCUCAAAACCCAACAAAGGGAUCACGGAAGAUCCAGACACAUCGACAGAAAGUAUCAUUUCAUCAGACAUCAAAUAGAAGAAGGACUCCUUGUGCCAAAGAGGGUAUCAUCGGAUGAGAACCCAGUAGAUCCCCUCACGAAGGGACUGGGUAGGGUUAAGAAUCUCCAACAUGCAAGGCGCAUAGGGCUGAAGGAUGAUAUUAGUUUUAGUAGUUAGAUAGUUUUGAAAUUUGUAAAAUGUAAUUGACAUUUUAUAAUAAAUAAAAGUUGUUGUUUAUUUAUAAGUAUAAGUGUUGCUAUCUUUUGUCAGUCAUUUACUAUCAUUUCAUUUUGAAUGUUUUGACUUCCAGAAUAAGUAUGUUAUGGUAUAUCAUAUUAUUCAUAUUCUCCACGGUCAGUCAUAUGUUUGAAGUAGAUAUGAAUCAAGACUGUCAUGAGUUGGCUUGUAGAUGUCUAACUUGUUGGACAUAGCAAGAGUUGCUACAACACUCAUGAGUGCUCAUAAAUUCUGAGUAUUAGAUUCAACCCACGCUCACUUGUAUCACUUCAUGGAAUUUAUCUCGAGUGAUCAUGAGAUGGUAAUAUCAUAUAAGUCUUCAAACCUAGAGAUAUGAGUUGUUGACUAUGAGUUGGUUACACAUUGAUUGUACGAAAAUGCAUUGGUAACUUGAUGUUAUAAAACAUGUCUUCAUGUAUGAUUCAACAAGUAGUAGAACAAGCAUAUGAGUCAAAGUUUAUUUGUUCCUUCAUGGAUUAGAAGCGAUAUAUGGACCCCUCAAUGAUUUUGUUUUGACCUAUGUACCAGGCCCAGUCAGAACUAAAUUUAUUUGCUCGAUUAAGUUCUAUGUCAAACAAAUAAGAAAUCAGGAAACAAACUGCUAGACAAAAAGUAAGACAUUGUUCCAUGUAUUUGUCUGGUUAAUAUCUAGAACAUAGGAUUAUAUAAUCACUUAUAUUAAAUGGUGCAUCAUCAUCAUCUCAGUUCCACGAGACCUUGAAAGAUCUACGACUGCUGAUCGGUCCCUGAAGUCAUUCUUGCAGUUAUAGUUAUUAGACUUGUCCAAGUGGGAGACUAUUGGAUUAGGUGUUUAAGUUCAUAACUAUUCCUGGAAUGUACUUGACCUGAUUAGCAUGGUGCAUUUGGGUUGCAUGGCAUUGCAACAUUUGGAUAGACUAAAUCUGAGAAAGGAUACUUAAGGUUUAUUAAUGUAUUAUAAGUUCUAACAAAUUAAUAAUAGUAUUUAAUUAGUAUUGAUCAAAGAAUUAAUUUGGAAUUAAUUAAGUGAUCAUAAAGAGACUAAUUAAAUAUAUGGGAUUGAUUGUGUAAAUCAUCUAAUCUUGUAUAGUGGGAUAAUGAUCCAUGGUUUAUGUGGAUUGGGUGAAAACCCAUAUGGUGCUCCAUGGGUAGUCCAUGGAGGUUACAAACCCAUGGAUCAUGGAAUAUGAAAAGCCGUGACUAUUAGGGUUUACAUGGUGUAACCCUACUUGUAACACAACUAUAUAAAGACUCCAUGGAUGUCCAAAAUCGACACUACAAGCAUGUAAUAGAGCGCUAGCUGAUUUUGAGGUGUAAGUGAACUUCUCUCAAAAUUAUUCUAAGUGUUGUGGUGUUGUCUGAGACAUUUGAGGCAUCACACUUGAGGUGCUAGGCUCACAUGGUUUUCAAGGAAUCCAAGCAACAAAAAGGUAUGUUCUUCUACUAGCAUUUAUGUUUUAAAGUUCCCCAUGCCAUGUUAGUUAAGUUAAGAACCUUAGAAAAUCAUUUUGCAUGUAUCUUAGUAAAACAUAGAUCCAAGGUUUCUAGCCUUGCAUGUACACCUUAGGAGUGUUAGAAUGCUCAAAAACCCUCCAUACUUGUCGUUCGGGGAUUUGCUACUAAUGUGGCAAGGAGGGGCACAUGGCGAAGGAUUUCCCCAAGGGGUUCUCGGUUUGCUUUCAUGGCAACCAGACCGGCCACCGGAAUGCCGAGUGUCCUUAGCUUGUGCAGGGAUCAGCCCAGGGAUCUGGAUCUACUAUAAUGUGUGCUACUAAGAUCCGGACAGCAAAGGCCGAGACACCGAGGGUUUGUGGGAGAGCCUUUCAGCUGAUAGCGGAGGAGGUCCACACAACACCAGAUGUUGUGGCUGGUACGUAUUCUUAUUAUAUUCUUAUUAUAUUGUGAUUGUGUAUAGGUACUUUUCUUGUGAGCUAUGUGUUUGCCUUGGUGUUAUUUGACACGGGUGCAAUUCGAUCCUUCGUAUCAUUAGCAUUUAGUCGUUACAUCAAUAUCCGACGAGUGGCAUUGAGUCGACCUCUAAGAGUCUCCAUAGCCGAUGAGCAUGCGGUGUUUGCGACUGAUGUGAUUCGUGGAUGUGUGCUUCAGAUUUUCAGAGUUGAGUUUCCGAUAGAUCUGGUACCGAUCACGAUGAGGGAUGUUUGUGUCAUCGUGGGCAUUGAUUGGUUGAGUUGAUUUGGAGCUAUGAUCGACUGUGAGCGUCAGCUGAUGACCAUUCGAGACCCUAGUGGGGGAGUGCUUACAGUGUAUGGCGAGGGUACUCGAUCUGGGUCAACAUUUUGUUUGGCCGCCAGAGCGAGACAGAGUCUACAGCAGGGUUGUAUGGGGUUUCUGGCGUAUGUGAUGGAUUCGUGGGCUAUUGUAGAGAGAUCGAGUUCUAACUCCGAGGUUCUGAUAGUGUGCGAGUUUCCAGAUGUUUUUCCCGAAGAGUUGCCGAGAGUGCCUCCCGAGAGGCAGGUAGAGUUUUGGAUCGAUUUGGUGCCAGGAGCGGCGCCUAUUGCCAAGCCACCUUAUCUCCAUGCACCUCCAGAGAUGUAGGAGUUAUCCUCGAGCUGUUAGGGAAAGGGUUUAUCAUGCCAAGUAGCUCGUUGUGGGGAGCUUCGAUCCUUUUUUUUCAAGAAAAAGGAUGGGUCACACCAGAUGUGCAUUGAUUACUGGGAAUUGAACAAGCUGACGUUCAAGAACCGUUAUCCACUUCCGAGGAUCGACGAUCUGCUCGGUCAUCAUGUUCAUCGAUUAUAUCUUGGUGUACUCGAGAUCCAGAGAGCAACAUGAGGAGCACCUGAGGGAGAUUUUGGUGUACUGAGAUCGGACAGGCUCUAUGCCAAAUUCUCCAAGUGUGAUUUUUGGUUAUGAGAGGUCCAGUUCGUGGGACACCUCGUUAAUCAGAAUGGUAUUUUGAUCGAUCCGGUCAAGAUUGAGGCAGUUAUGAGAUGGGAGGUGCCGAGAUCCCCCACCAAGAUCGGGAGUUUUCUAGGACUGGCCGGAUACUAUCAGAGAUUUACCAGAGAUUUCUCCAAGAUUGUCGUCCCUCUCACCAGUUUAGCCCAGAAGGGCAUUGCAUUUACUUGAGGUCCCGAGCAGGAGACCUCAUUUGAGACCCUUCUCCUGAGAUUAUGCGAGGCUCCCGUAUUGGCCCUUCCGGAGGGAAUGGAAGAUUUUGUGGUUUAUUGCAAUGCAUCUAUUAUGGGCAUGGGUGCGGUGUUGAUGCAGAGAGGGCAUGUGAUAGCGUACGCCUCAAGACAGUUGAAACCUCAUGAGACAAGAUAUCCCACCCACAAUCUAGAGCUUGGGGCGGUGGUGUUUGGCCUCAAGAUCUUGCAUCACUAUCUGUAUGGGGUUCGGUGUACCAUAUACACGGACCAGAAAAGUUGUAAGUAUCUUAUGGAUUAGCCCAACCUUAACAUGAGACAGAGAAGACGGUUGGAUGUGGUGAAAUAUUAUGACUGUGAGAUCCUGUAUCAUCCGGGCAAGGCUAAUCUGGUAGCUAACGCCCUGAUCCGUAGAGCAGAGACUACCCCGAUCCGAGACGUGUGUUUGAGGAUGACAGUGAUGACUCCAGUAUUAUAUAUCAUUUGAGAGGCUCAGGCGGAGUCCUUGAGACCGGAGAACCACAAGAUGGAGUGGGUGAUUAGGCAAGUGUUCGAGUUUGUGAUGGACAUACGAGGGCUUACGACCUUUUGAGGGAGGAUUUGGGUUCCCUAUACAUGUGGAGCUCAACGUACACUGAUGGAUGAGGCGCAUAGAUCAAGAUUCUCGAUCCAUCUCGGGGCCACUAAGAUGUAUUUGGACCUGAAGAGAGAUUAUUGGUGGCCCUGUAUGAAGAGGGAUGUUGCUUGCGUAGUCGAGAGGUGCUUGACCUGUCGUCGGGUUAUGGCCGAGCACCAGCAUCCUCAUGGCAAGUUGCCGACAUUGGAGGUCCCCUAGUGGAAAUGGGAACAAAUUUCCAUGGAUUUUAUCACCAAGUUGCCGAGAACUGCAAGGGGUGUCAACGCGAUUUGGGUGAUUGUGGAUCGGUUGACGAAGAGCGCUCACUUUCUUGCUAUUAGUCAAAGAAACAUAGUGUGUGGUUUACCGGCACAUCGAAUAGGUGACCGUAACAUGUGAGGGCACCAUGUAAGUUUGCAUGGUUAUUCACACCCGCUUUGUGAUCCUCGGCAUCCCAGUCACAAACUAGAGGGGCAUAUCGAGAUUUAAACAUGCCAUUGAAAGUUCAAUGAAUCUCAAAGGAUCUAGGAGUUUUCAUAGAUUUAAAACUUAAAUUUCUUUUUCGUUUUUCGUGGUUGAAAUUAGUGAAUCGUCAUUCACUUACCUUCAAAUAUUCUGCAAUUAGGGUUACAGCAUCCCUCUCCCGAGUUGUGGAAUAUUGUGUUGGGUCCUAGCCUUAGUAUCUCAUUUGGGUGAUUUACUAAGGACUCAAUCAAUCAACUAACUUGAAUUUGUUUUCUCCCGUUUUGUAGAUGUCAAAGUACGACAACUAUGGUCUUCCCAAAUCCCGUGGAACAAGCUUUCCACAUGAAGAUGAUAUUCCACGAUUUGAUCGAGGAACGAGAGAUCAUGCUUCACUUCCUCCACCUCCUCCAAUUAUUCUCCCUAACCCACAAGUUCGAAGGCUUGAAAAGUUCAAACUCACUCAAGCCCUUUUGGCAAGUAAUCAUAAAAAAGGAGAGUCAGUGUGUGCACACGUCCUAGGGAUGAAGUCACACAUUGAUAGGUUAGGAAUGUUGGGAUCCGUUGUCUGUGAGAAGAUGGCUGUUGAUUGGGUUCUUCAGCCACUUCCUAACUCAUAUAGUGAGUUCGUAAGAGAGUACUAUAUGAUGAACUGCGACGUGACCCUUAUAGAUCUCACCUAUAUGCUUAUUGCUGCUGAAUCAGCAAUGGUUUGGCGCAAUAGAAAAGCAAAGUUGAUUGGUGAAUCUGCCUUCAAGACCUCUAUGGAUAUAGACAAUGGCAACGAAAGACAUGCUAUGAUCGAAAAGUUUGAUCAUAAGAGAAAGGCAAUGUCUGAAGUAGUUCCAUGUCCUGUUCCAAAAGAGUCAAUUUGCUUUUAUUGCCAAGAGAAGGGGCAUUGGAGACGAAGCUGCCCCAUUUACCUAAGAGAUCUAAGAGAUGGGAGAGUCGAAACGUAUGGCUCUAAUAUAGGUAAAAUCCAUUAACUAACUCUUUUAAGCUUCUAUUCUAGAUUCUUAAUACAUAAUGUGAUAAGAUUACAAUUGAUGUUUUGUAGGAUCGAAGAAAAGAAAGGAAGCUUAAGGGAAGAAGUGAGCAGAAUCUAACCGUGAAGGAAUGGAUUUCGAUCGCAUUUCUCGAAGAUUAGAUUCUUGAGCUACUACUUAGAGUUAGAAUUAGAUUGCUAAGAAAGAUGUAUUAGCAUAAGUUUUUCAAUGAAUUGCAUUGUAAGGACAAAUUUUUCCGCAAUAAAAUAAAUUUUGAUUUUAAAUUUUAUUUAUUUAUCCUUACAAUGGCGUGUAUGAAAAAUUGAUGUUAAAAUGUUUCUAUUAUUAGCAAUAAUGGAUUUGGUUCUUAUUAUGUUAUUUAUGGAAAGUCGAGAAUUUACCAAAUAGGGAGAGUUUCUCAUCGCCCAAGUUUCAAUUGGACAGAAACUUGGAAUCAUGCAACUUGGUUGCACGAUGAAUGAGAAAUUUCAUAUUUGGAAAUUAGACUAAUUCAUUGACAAAGUGUCAAGUGAAGGACUAGGAGAUCGAGUACACAAAGUUGCGUGUUGAUCAAGUCCACCAUAAGAGUAACAAAGAUAUUCGUCAUGAUUUACUAAAGGUUUAGUAAAUAUGAUUAUACUUAUAAGAUUAAGUGUAAUUCUGAAUUGAUUGAAAAGGUUUAAAUCAAUAGCAGAACGAAUAAGAAGAAUCAAGUAGGCAGAAAGAUAAAAGUUUCUCCAUUCUAAGAAGAAGGGAGAGUACCUUUUAUGCUUUAUGAUAGGUCUUAAUGAUUAAGAACCAUAUCUCAAUUGAUCCUCUAAGUGAGUCUUAGUACAAUUGUAUGUCUAAGAAGAGGAAUCAAGAAUUGAAGAAAUGGUUAAAUCAAUAAGUCAAUCAUACUUCGUUCCAAUAACAAGUCUUAAAGUUAAGAUUGUGACAUUGAGUGAAAGGUAUUAAGAAGGUUUAUAACUUUCAUCAAAUGUGGAAAGUUGUGAUGUCUUGGAUAAGACAAAGACCAACUAGGACCAAUUUAUGAAGUGUUUUGAUAAAAGCUACACUAACUCUUGAAUAUUUGUUUGUCAAGAAAUGGUUAUUGACAAGAGAAUCUUAUAUGUCAAGGAGUCAGUGGGAGUCUUAAUGGUCUUGAAAGGUUUCAAGAACAAAUCAAAUAAACCUUAUCGAUCAUCACUAGCACACGAGUUGAGGUUUACAACCUAUCGUGUUGACAUUAUUUUGAUUCUGUGCCAAUCCAAUCGAGUUAAUUAUGCAUGUGAGUUCUAUGAGUUCUCAUUUUGAACGCAUAAAAGGCAAAGCACCUUAAUCAAUGAAAGGUACAUUGAUAGGAAAAGGUGAGCUGCUUAACUACUUGGAAGACAUGGUGGGCAGCUGUGCUACCAUAAGGCAAGAAAUCAAGAUUAAGAAAGUUCGGUCCAUAUGAGUUUGAAUUUGUCGUAAACUUUGGUUUUAACAAAUUCACAUGGAUAGGAACACAUACACCGUUUAAAUCUAAGUGUCAUAAGAUUUCCUCCUUCAUGAAAAUGAUUGUGAGGAAAUGCUUUCACUAAGAAAGAUUUUAAGAAGAUAGUGAUUGUAAAAUUGCAUUCUCGAAUUCAAUUAUGGUUACGGCAUCCCUUUCCAUAAUUUGAAUUGUGAGGUUUGGCAAUUAGUCUUAAUUGUUUAGACACACAUAUGAACUAUCGAAGGCAAAGGUGUAUAAGUUCAAGAAGCAUUGAUAAAGGAUUAUCAAAGCACUAAGUAUUAGAAACAUGAACUUAAGAAAUUCAAUAAGUAUUGUUUUCUGAAAGUUAAGAUGUUUAUGAAUACAUGUCGAAGCUAGUGGGAGCAUAAGUGUUAUGUUUUAUAAUAAUCAUCAUGAUAGUGGGAGCAUAAAUGUUAUGAUUGUAUGAUUAUUAAGGAAAGUAUUGCAAGGUUAGCAAUAUUAAUUAUAGAAAACAAGAGUCAUACUUUGCAAAGUUGUAAGAGUUGAAAAGUUGUUUUGCUAUAAUUAAGGGAGAGAAUAUUAUGCUUCAUUUCAAAUCUAAAGGAUUAGGUUGAGAAAUGUUAAUAAAUUUAGUCAAAGGUACAUAGUGUGUUCUUAAAAUUUCGAUUAUGAUUACGGCAUCCCUCUUCACAAUUCGAAUUUUGAGAACAUAGCAAAUAAAACAUUAUGCGUCGUGUCCCAUACGCUUCGGGUAUAGGAUCGAUUGCAAAUGCUUUAAUGUUUGACCAUUCUAAAAUUUUCCAAAUGUCGAGCGCAUUUAGAGGGAAAAGGGACUAGAAUUGGUUUUGACUAAAAUAAUUAAACAACUAUCAAAGGACAACCCAAGUUCGACGAGGAUUGGUCGCUUGUGAGUAGUUGGAAGUAUAGUAUUGGAAAAUAUGGAAAUGUUUCCAUAUUGGAUGGACCAUAUCGACAUCAUUACGAAUAGAUAAGAUUCUAUUAAGAAUGAGUUGUCAUAUGGAACAUAUGGAAGUGUGUCCAUAUUGGGAAUUGAAUAUUGAGAAAUCUAUGACUAGAUUAGAAACUUCUAUGCAAAAGGAUGUUCAAAGAAUGUACUUUGAGUGAGAGACAUCACAUCUAUGGAAUUGUCUUGUAACAAUCUCCGAUAGAGGACUUUGUAAUAUCAUUGGCAAUAGUCUUUGUGACUUUGGUGCAGUGACAUUACGAAAGGAUAGUUGCAUAGAAUGUUAGAAUCUAGCAUAUUCUAUAAGUAGCAAGAAUUUGAUAUUCUUUCACUUUGGAAAAGGAUUUGGAGUUGUGAAAUGAGAAUGAUUGGAAAUGUGUUCAAUUUGAUCUAUUUCACAAAGUAAGAACCAUAGGUAAACAUUGUGUGCAUGCUAGGAGCAUGGGACAAGUGUAAUAAUUCAAGUAAGAAGUUGAUUACCCGAAACGACAAAUAAUGAGUAAUCGAUAUGGUGAUAAAUAAAAGGUGUUUUAUUUAUACUCAAAGGUUUGAGGCCAUAUGGGAUUAGUAUUAUUCUUGUGUUUCACAUUUGCAUGUUUUGACUUCCAGAAUAAUUGAGUUUAUUAAGAAUAAUCGAAUUAUUCGAACGGGCCACAGUCGUUCAUAUGUUGGAAGUAGAUAUGAAUGAAGACUGUCGUGAAUUGGUGUGUGGAUUGUCUAAAGAGUAUUAGACAUAAGCAAAUGUUUGCUGCAACGUUCAUGAGUGCUUAUGAAUAUGAUUUGAGCAUUGGAUUAAACCCACGCUCACUUGGAUCACUCCAUGAAUUGUAUCACGAGUGAUUGGUGAGACGAUAACAUCUUAUAUUCUUGAAACCGAGAUGUGUGAGUUGUAUCUUGCAAAUCGGUUGCACAUUGAUAAUAUGUAAACGCACUAGUAACUUGGUGUUAUAAAACAUAUUGUUGUGUGUGAUUCGGUGAGUGAGUGCAAGCAAGCAUUGUAUCAAAGUUUAUCCGUUCCUUUUAUCCAAAGUAGGAUAAAAGCGAUAUCUUUGGGCCCCUCGAUGAUUUAGUGAUGACAAACGUAAAUGCUCGGCCGGGCUAGGGCUAAUUUGAUUUGUUCAAUUAGUCAGUCGUCAUAAAUCGGGAAUCGAGAUAUAGUACAAAGAGAAUGAUUUGAAAUCAUAUCUCAUAUGAUAUCUAGAAUGGAGGAAUAUAUGAUCCCUUAUCUAAGGACACGCGUAUCUGAUAGGAUCAGAGUUGACAGCGGCUUUGGAAAGCUACGAUUGCAGAUCAGGAUCUGAAGUCAUACGCAUAAUAGUUAUUAGACUUAUCCAAGUGGGAGACUGUUGGAUUAGUGUCUAAGUCCAUAACUAUUUUGGUAUGUACUUGACCCGAUGGUGCAUGGUCCUUUUGGGUUGCCUUCACCAAAGCAACUUGAUAGGAUGAAUUAUGGAGAGAAAGGAUUAAAUAUGAUUUAUUAAUAUAUUAUGAGAAUAAUAUAUUAAAGGAGAAAUCAUAUUGUUUAAUUAAUAUUAGUCAAUAAUUAAUUGGUAAUUAGUUUUGUGACUAAAAGAGAUUAAUUAAACUUAAGGGACUGGAAUUGUAAUUAUAAGAUAAUUGCAAUUUGGGCCAUGGAUUGUCUUAAAUCAAGAGGUGGACGAAUUCUUAUGGGAAGCCCAUAAGGAAAUCGUCCAAGGGCUUGAUUAAAGGAGUCUAUGGGUUGCUUAGGGCUUAAGCAACCAAAUUAGGGUUUCCUUGUUAGAUAACCCUAAUAGCCUCACUAUAUAUAGAACCCUUAAGGCUCAAAAACGUGGGGAACUUCUUUUCUAGGGUUAGAACACGUUUUGGGCAGCCUCCAUCCUCUCUCCUCUUCAUCCUCUUGCUUAUGGUGUUUGUGAACCAUUAGAGGAGUGACACUUGUGACUCUAAGCCUUCCAAAGUCAAUUCAAGGAGGAAUUGGGAUUGUUAUUGCUACAUAACAAUCAAGGUAAUAUCUUAAACCUAAUUAUAUGUUAAUAUUGAUUUCCAUAUGCUAGAAUUAGGGUUUAUAGUCUUGGAUUCAAAGCAUGUACAAUAGAGAAACCUAGAUCCAAGCAUUAGGGUUUGUAUGAGCACAUAGGAUGUCUUAUGACCAAAACCCAUCAGUGGUAUCAGAGCCUAGACUGGUUUCAAUUGUAUUGAUGCAUUACAUGUUCAAAAAAUUCGAUUUUUGAUGUUCUGGAGGCUGGACUCGCCGAGUCCAUAGCUGAACUCGCCGAGUCCAUGCAGACUCGACGAGUCCAAGCCUGACUCGACGAGUCAACUCGUCAGAUGGAGGGUAUUUCGGGAUUUCUUGCUGUUUUUGCUUAUGGAUAGUUACCUUAUCAUGUUAGAUCAAUAUUAAUCCGAUUUUAUGAUAUAUUUGACUAUAUUUUUGAUCUAAUUGAAGAUAUUUAUCAAUUAAUAAGAUAAUUGUUUCCUUAUGUGAUAAUUGAUUAAUUAUUUUGACUAAAUUGAUAAAUUGUUUUGCAAGAAAUCAUUAAAUAAAUCAAAUAUGGAUAAUUAUGUGAUUAAAUGUUAAUUUAGAUUAUUUGUUAUUUGAUCCUUGUUGUUAUGAAAAGUUUCAUAUUUUCCCCUUUAGGUUUUAUAGUUUAAAUUUGAACCCAAAAGUUUUGUUGUUUUGAAAUUUAAAUAGUUGAAACCCUAAUGUUUUGAAAAAGGUUUCAAAACUUGCCCUCAAGUUUUGGAAUUUAAAUUUUGAUUAAAUGGUUUAAUUUUGAUGUAUAUUUAAAUUCUAAACCCUAAUGUGUUGAAAUGUUUCAAAACUUGCCCUCAAGUUUUGGAAUUUAAAAGUUGAUUAAAAGUUUAAUUAGGAAUGUUAAAUUCUAAAACUCUAGUAUAGUUUUGAAAAAGUUCAAAUCACACCCUUAUGGUUUUAUUAAUUAAUUAAGGUGUAUAAUUAAAAGAGGUUUAAUAAAUCCAUAAAAGUUUUGGUUUACAAUUUAAUUGAAUUAAAAGUAUAAUUGUUAAAUUUGACCACCUAGUAUUUUAAAAGUGUAAAAUACACCCUAUACUAUAUAUAACAUUAAAAGUCUAACAUUAUAUAUAUGUAUGAGUAAAAGUCAGUCUUACCGUUAGUAGGCCUCAUUCACGAAGCUGGUCUAUAAGGGGUGUUUAAGGAAAUUGCCUAUAAAAUGGCGAUUGAAUGGGUAUCCACUCUUACCCACCGCACUCUUGACUAGUGGAGGGUCGUUAGCCGAACGGGUAGGAUAGGACGAAACCUUCCAUUAUAAGUAUAAUGAAGUAUAAAAGUAACUAAAUGUUUUCAUAAAAUUCCCAAUCUUAGUUACUUAGGCAAAAGUGAAUUGAUGCAAUUCCAUGAAAUUACACUUUGUGCCCUUGCGAAGACGUUAGUGGAGCGUGUGUGGUUUACCGGCACACUAAAUGGUUCUAAGCAAAGGUAGCAAAGGGUGACUCAAUGUUUGUCAUAGUUCGGUGGAGCGUGUGUGGUUUACCGGCACAUCGAAUAGGUGACUGUAACAUGUGAGGGCACCAUGUAAGUUUGCAUGGUUAUUCACACCCGCUUUGUGAUCCUCGGCAUCCCAGUCACAAACAAGAGGGGCAUAUCGAGAUUUAAACAUGCCAUUGAAAGUUCAAUGAAUCUCAAAGGAUCUAGGAGUUUUCAUAGAUUUAAAACUUAAAUUUCUUUUUCGUUUUUCGUGGUGGAAAUUAGUGAAUCGUCAUUCACUUACCUUCAAAUAUUCUGCAAUUAGGGUUACGGCAUCCCUCUCCCGAGUUGUAGAAUAUUGUGUUGGGUCCUAGCCUUAGUAUCUCAUUUGGGUGAUUUACUAAGGACUCAAUCAAUCAACUAACUUGAAUUCGUUUUCUCCCGUUUUGUAGAUGUCAAAGUUCGACAACUAUGGUCUUCCCAAAUCCCGUGGAACAAGCUUUCCACAUGAAGAUGAUAUUCCACGAUUCGAUCGAGGAACAAGAAAUCAUGCUUCACUUCCUCCACCUCCUCCAAUUAUUCUCCCUAACCCACAAGUUCAAAGGCUUGAAAAGUUCAAGAUCACUCAAGCCCUUUUGGCAAGUAAACAUAAAGAAGGAAAGUCGGUGUGUGCACACGUCCUAGGGAUGAAGUCACACAUUGAUAGGUUAAGAAUGUUGGGAUCCGUUGUCUGUGAGGAGAUGGCUGUUGAUUGGGUUCUUCAGUCACUUCCUAACUCAUAUAGUGAGUUCGUAAGAGAGUACUAUAUGAUGAACUGCGACGUGACCCUUAUAGAUCUCACCUAUAUGCUUAUUGCUGCUGAAUCAGCAAUGGUUUGGCGCAAUAGAAAAGCAAAGUUGAUUGGUGAAUAUGCCUUCAAGACCUCUAUGGAUAUAGACAAUGGCAACGAAAGACAUGUUAUGAUCGGAAAGUCUGAUCAUAAGAGAAAGGCAAUGUCUGAAGUAGUUCUAUAUCCUGUUCCAAAAGAGUCAAUUUGCUUUUAUUGCCAUGAGAAGGGGCAUUGGAAACGAAGCUGUCCUAUUUACCUAAGAGAUCUAAGAGAUGGGAGAGUCAAAACGUAUGGCUCUGCUUUAGGUAAAAUCCAUUGACUAACUCUUUUAAGCUCCUAUUCUAGAUUUUUAAUACAUAAUGUGAUAACAUUACAAUUGAUGUUUUGUAGAAUCAAAGAAAAGAGAGGAAGCUUAAGGGAAGAAGUGAGCAGAAUCUAACCGUGAAGAAAUGGAUUUCGAUCGCAUUACUUGAAGAUUAGAUUCUUGAGCUACUACUUAGAGUUAGAAUUAGAUUGCUAAGAAANNNNNNNNNNNNNNNNNNNNNNNNNNNNNNNNNNNNNNNNNNNNNNNNNNNNNNNNNNNNNNNNNNNNNNNNNNNNNNNNNNNNNNNNNNNNNNNNNNNNNNNNNNNNNNNNNNNNNNNNNNNNNNNNNNNNNNNNNNNNNNNNNNNNNNNNNNNNNNNNNNNNNNNNNNNNNNNNNNNNNNNNNNNNNNNNNNNNNNNNNNNNNNNNNNNNNNNNNNNNNNNNNNNNNNNNNNNNNNNNNNNNNNNNNNNNNNNNNNNNNNNNNNNNNNNNNNNNNNNNNNNNNNNNNNNNNNNNNNNNNNNNNNNNNNNNNNNNNNNNNNNNNNNNNNNNNNNNNNNNNNNNNNNNNNNNNNNNNNNNNNNNNNNNNNNNNNNNNNNNNNNNNNNNNNNNNNNNNNNNNNNNNNNNNNNNNNNNNNNNNNNNNNNNNNNNNNNNNNNNNNNNNNNNNNNNNNNNNNNNNNNNNNNNNNNNNNNNNNNNNNNNNNNNNNNNNNNNNNNNNNNNNNNNNNNNNNNNNNNNNNNNNNNNNNNNNNNNNNNNNNNNNNNNNNNNNNNNNNNNNNNNNNNNNNNNNNNNNNNNNNNNNNNNNNNNNNNNNNNNNNNNNNNNNNNNNNNNNNNNUGACAUUGAGUGAAAAGUAUUAAGAAGGUUUAUAACAUUCAUCAAAUGAGGAAAGUUGUGAUGUCUUGGAUAAGACAAAAACCAACUAGGGCCUAUUUAUGAAGUGUUUUGAUAAAAACUGCACUAACUCAUGAAUAUUUGUUUGUCAAGAAAUGGUUAUUGACAAGANAGGGUUUCCUUGUUAGACAACCCUAAUAGCCUCACUAUAUAAGAACCCUUAUGCGUCAAAAACAUGGACAAGCUUCCUUCUAGGGUUUCCACACAUUUUGGGCAGCCUCCUUCUCUUCUCUUCUUCAUCCUUUUGCUCUUGGUGUUUGUGAACCAUUAGAGGAGUGACAUUUGUGACUCUAAGCUUUCUAAAGUCAUUAUAACGAGGAUUUGAGAUUGUUAUUGCCACAUAACAAUCAAGGUAUGAUCUAAACCCUAAUUAUAUGUUAUAUUGAUUAUCAUAUGCUAGAUCUAGGGUUUAUAGUCUUGGAUAAAUUGCAUGUACAAUAGAGAAACCUAGAUCCAAGCAUUAGGGUUUGUAUGAGCACAUAGGAUGUUCUUAUGGCCAAAACCCAUCAUCAGGUACCAGCGAGGAUCGCGGGAAGGUGCCGGCAUGAGUCAUACACACCGAGGGGUUUUAUGUAUUGAGAUCUUGGGAUUUGUUUUAUUCGGAUAAUAUGUGAAAUAUUGGAUUUUGGUAUUUCUUUAUGAAUGAAUUAUGUGUUUAAAAUGAAAAAUUAUUUCGAAACUUUACGUUGUUACAAUCGGCUUGACCGAUAAUCUCACUGAAGUUCCCUCCCUCGGACUGCCCUCCAUUUAUUUCGGGCUCUUUAAUUGGUAUUGAGAGUUCUUCACGAUUCUGCUAAAGGAGACGUCUAGUUUCUUCCAUCUGACGAUCCAACAUCGUCUGACUCACCAUUUGUACUCCAGUCAUUGUCAUUGGCCCAGGUGCUGCUGCUGCAACAACUACUUGUUCAAUCACAUGUGGUUGAUUCCUGUUUUCGUUCACGUUUCCAGCUCCACUUCUGGUUCUUGCCAUUUUUUAUCUAUACACCGAAUAAGGUGAAUUUAGAUCUCUAUUUCGAUAGACGUUCAAAUCAUCCUUAUUACUCUGAAACGUUUACAUGCUAGUUCUAAUACUGUAGUCAUACGCUUAGAAUCCUUCAUACAUAAGGUCUCCAGAUCGGGUUGGCAACAAGCCAUAGAUCCGAACAAAUAAAAUCAUAUAUGGCAAACAUAUAACAUUUAGCACAUAAAAGCAUUUUAGGCAUCAUUCCUAAAAUAUACUAGUGCUUGUGUCCAUUUAGGUGUACUACCUAACAUAUUUUAGACACACUCCUCAUGAUCAUUACUUAGCAUUCUAUGUUUAACUCUACAAAUUUCCUACAGAUUCCUAGUUCGCUUAAACUAAUGCUCUGAUACCAACUGUGACAUCCCCAUUUUCACGGCCAGAAAAAACCGAUUUUGUUUAUGCUUUAUUUUAUAAAAUCAGAGUAAUCCUUUGAUUAAAAGAGUUGCGGAAUUUGUUCCCAAAAUAUGAUAAAGAUUUAUCAAAGCAUUUCUGUAGAAAUGUAUUUCACUAAAAAGAUUCAAGAUGUUAUGUUCGAUACAGACCAAAAGCAUAAACAGAACAAAAUUGACCUUACAACAGUUAUUUAUAACUACUGGCCUACAAUCCAAAAUCUCUCGUUACGCCAGCCAACUAAUGCUCUCGUGCCAUAACCUGUAAUACAAAGAAAACUGAGUGGGUCAGGUUUGGGAGCCUGGUGAGCAUAUAGGGUUUUCAACCCACUAUGUUAUAUCAUAUAUGUAUAUAUUAGAACUCACAAACUUAUACAAUUUCACCAUAUAAAACGACUCUUAUCCCACCCCGUCGAUCCUCACAAUGACACGAUCUAAACUCUCGUAUCAAAAUUUUCCUCUUUACCUGAUCCCUACUCACGGAUCUAAAACUAACCUCUUGAUUUGAUCAAUACUCCCAGAUCUAAAACUAAUCUCCUGAUCUAAUCCAUACUCCCGGAUCUAAAACUAUGCCUAAUCCAUAGUCACGGACUAGGGACAAUUAACUAUGUCUUAAUCCAUACUCCUAGAUUAGUAACAAUUUUAUCUCGUUUAUUGACAGUAUCGUUUUCGAGACCCCUCUCGCAAUACGUGUCACUAGGUUUUUCGAGUACACCGGUGAACAUCAAGUUCACAACACCUACAAGUUGUGAACCUACUAGUGUUCCAAUGAACUGUCUAGAAUAGUCUGUGGUUGUCAUCCCUACUCUGCUGAAUGACGGGGGCCAUCGUUUGGGUAAAGGUUUCACUCAUUUUUCACUUGUCACCCUCACCUCAAGAUCUAUAUUACCUUUUAUAUCAUUAUCCAACUCAUCUUUUAUCACACACCAACUAUCUCAUAAACCCCUAUUCUACCCAACAUAUUUGUAGAUAUAAAAUACAUAUACAGUUUAACUCAUUUAAAACUAUAUAAAACAUCCACUCACACUCAUCUCAAAUAAACAACAAUAUAUAAACACAUAACACAUUUUUCAUAGCAAAUACUUCAUAUUUAUGUGUUAGAAGAAAGUGACUACACACUCACUCAUAACAUAGAUGUAAUACAUUCAACCAAUACUUGUAUUAAAAUCGUGUUUAUGAAAGGGACUAUACACUCACCUGAUCAGAAGAUGAUCAGACAACACUAUUGUUCUAAAAGUAGUAUUCUUCAGUGAAACCGAAAUAUCUUCAAGCAUUGGGCUUCUCGUGGGCAGAGCUUCGACUUGAAACUCUUUUCUCCUCGGGAUCUUUGGGGCUUUGGGACUUGCUUUAGGCUUUGGGAUGAUACAGGGGCUUCGGGGGUACUUCAAGACGGCUAGAGAGAGUAUCGUGAGUGAGAGAGAAGAGAUGGAGCAACCAAAUUCGGCUGACCCUCAAUUUCUAUUUAUAGGGCCGAUUUUCCAAUCUCACGUCGUGAGAUUCAAGUGCUCACAUCGUGAGCUUAGCCGUCACUGCGUUCGUCACUCGUCCACUUGCUCUGGAGGGUCUCCAGUCUCUACUCACGUCAUGAGGACCCUGCUCAUGUCGUGAGCUCUGACACAACCUCAGAAUUUGUGUUUCGAAUUUCAGAAAUUCAUAUCAUUCGCAUACAAGCUUCGGUUUCGACAUUCUUUAUAUCCACACGUAGGCGAGAUUAUGCUCUACAACUCUCGUUUAGACUCUGUCGGCUAAUUUUGACUUUAACUUUUAUUAUAUUAUUUUAGUAGGCCGGGACAGGAAAACUCCGUUAGAAAUCUAUAACUCCUUCACCUGACCCGUUUUCGUCUGUCUUUUUACCGUUGGACUACUAUCAACGAGAUCCUCAAUUCUCGUUUAGAUUUUUUCGGCUAUAUAUUGCUCGAUCCCAUAUUCGAACUUUGGGCUGCAUACUGCUAAUUCGAAACUUCGAACAAUCAUAACUUCCUCAUACGAAGUCAGAUUUAGAUGUUCUUUUCAUGGACGCUCUCGGUUUAACGUAUUCUACAACUUUCAUUUAGAUCACUAAGGCUAAAUAUAGCUCUAUCGUAAAUUCACUAUUUAUGUCGCCCUGUGUCGUGUCGGUUCUGUCGUGAAACUUGGACAGGUCAUAACUUCUUCGUUAUAACUUGGAUUUUGGCGUUCUUUAUAAACCCGGAAUCCUUGUCACGACCACUACAACUUCGUUAAGAUUAUUCAUUCUAAAUAAUCUUCUAUCAAAAAGUCAUUUUUGAUGCUCAUUGUCUCUAAAUUGACUAGCCCUGAUCUACGGACGUUACACAUCUAGGGUCGAUCAUACUUUGGAAGUAUUUAAUGAGGUAAGACUGUCAUGAAUCCGACUGUAGAUUGUCUAAAGCAUUUUAGCCGUAGAAAAAGUCUGUUGCAAUGUUCAUGAGUACUCCUGAAAUAAGAUUUGAGUAUUGGAUUAAACCCAUGCUUACUUGAAUCACUUCAUGGAUUUUAUCACGGGUGAUUAGUGAGACGAUAACAUGUUAUAUUCUUGAAACGGAGACAUGUGAUUUGUAAUUUGUAAUUUGCAAGUCAGUUGCACAUUGAUAAUAUGUAAAUGCACCUGUAAUUUGGUGUUAUAAAACAUAUUGUUGUGUGUGAUUUGAUGAGUAAGUACAAGCGAUCAUUUGAGUCGAAGUUUAUCCGUUCCUUUUACCCUAAGAGGGAUAAAAGCGAUAUCUGUGGGCCCCUCGAUGAUUUAAUGAUGACACCCUAUGCGCUUGGCCAAGCCUGGACUAAGUAGAUGUGUUCAAUUGUAGUCUGUUGUCAGUCGUCAUAAAUCGGAAAUCGGGAAACAACAUAUAGACAGAGAGAAUGAUUAUAAUCCAUGUCUCAGUCUAUACGAUAUCUAGAAUGGAGGAGUGUAUGAUCCUUUAUCUAAAGGACGCGUUACUGAUAAGAUCAGAGUUGACAACGACUUUUGAAAGCUACGAUUAUAAGAAUAAUAUAUUAAAUAAGAAAUCAUAUUGUUUAAUUAAUAUUAGUCAUGAAUUAAUUAAGAAUUAAUUUUGUGGCUAAAAGAGAUUAAUUAAAUAAAGGGUACUGAUACUGUAAUUAUAAGAUAGUUACAAAGUUGGGCUUAGGAUCCAUAAAGGAAGCAUGGACAAAUUAUAUAUGGAGGUCCAUAUAGAAAUCUACCAAGGGCCUUAUGGAAGGGUCUUUGGGCUGCUUAAGGAUUAAGCAGUUGGAUUAGGGUUUCCUAGUUGAUAACCCUAGAAGCCUAAGUAUAAAAGGAACCCUUGGGCAAGCCAAAAACACCCCCGACCUUCUAAGAGAAACCCUAGGACGUUUUUGGUGCAUCUUCUGUCUCUCCUUGUUCAUCUUGUUGCUUAUGGUGUUUGUGACUCCAUUAGAGGGGCAACAUUUGAGGAACAAAGCUUUCAGAAGUCAAGAUCAAGAAGUUUUGUGAUUUUUAUUUCUACAUAACAAUCUAGGUAAGAUAUAAACUCUAAUUUUCGAUUAUAGUAUGCUAGAUCUAGGGUUUAUGAGCUUUGGAUGAUUAUUGCAUGUACAACUAGAUAAACUAGAUCCAAAGCUUUAGGGUUAGCAUGUGCACCAUAAGCUUGAUGUAAUGCUCAAAACCAUCAGGUACUCCAAUGCCAAAUAGUCUAGACUUACGAAAGUUAAACUUUAAACCAGAGAAAAUGUGAAACAUUUAAGGAUGCGUGCAAGAUUUUUAAUGCUUUUUUUUUGUCCCAUUCACCCACAAAAAUUACAUCAUCAUAGAAAAGGUGGGAAAUGGAUGGACCGUUGUUUGGUAAAUUAACUUCAAGUACAAGUUCUUUUCCCGAACACUUUUAAGUGCCACAUGAAUAUACUUCACUUAUGAGUAACAGUCGAUCGAGUAUGUUCCUUCCAUUAAUGCAUGUAGAUUGUACUUCAUCCACGACACUACCCACCAUUGAUUUGAGUCUAGACGCCAGAAUCUUGACAACGAUUUUAUAAAUAUAGCAUAUGAGGUUAAUAGGCCAGUAAUCACUAAGACCUAAUGGAUCUUUGAUUUUCGGAAUUAGACUGAUAAACGAAGAAUUACAACCUCUAGCAAUAUAACCAUGCGCUUUAAACGAUUCACAAAAAGAAACACGUCGUGUUUGAUGGUUUCCUAAUUAUGUUUGAGAGCUUUGAACAUGAAACCAUCGGGACUAGGUGCCCUUUUUCCCCAUAAUUCCAGAUAACAUAUUUAACAUCUUCUAAUGUUAUGGGUACAUCUAAACCCAUGUUUUGAUCAAGUGAUAGAGUUUUGAAGAGAUUGUUUAUCAACUUCGUCAUUUCAGGCCAUUUUUCAUGGAAUUUGGCAGCAAAAAAGCCAUGUACCUCCUUCUUGAUUGCAAUUGGUGUUGGAUUAGUGUCUAAGUCCAUAACUAUUUUGGUAUGUACUUGACCCGAUGGUGCAUGGUCCUUUUGGGUUGUCUUCACCAAAGCAACUUGAUUGGAGAAAUAAAUAAAGAAAGAGAGGUUAUUAUGAUUUAUUAAUAUGUUAUAAGAAUAAUAUAUUAAAGGAGAAAUCAUAUUUGUUUAAUUAAUAUUGGUCAAUAAUUAAUUAAGAAUUAAUUUUGUGAUCAAGUGUAAUUAAUUAAACUAGAGGGGCUGAAUUGUAAUUAUGUGAUAGUUACAAAAUAAGGUAAGGAUUAUCUUAUAUAUAUGGUGAACGAAUUUGAGGUGUAAAUCCCUUAGAAUUCGACUAGGAUAAGGAUUUCUAGGACUUAUCUUAUGGUUGCUUGGUGGACAAGCAACUAGAUAAGGAUAAGGACUAAAACCUUAAUCUUUACACCUAUAUAAACCCCCUAAGGCAUAGGAAUUCGUCCAACCCUUCCCAAGAAGUCCUAGGGACGAAUUCUAACACCUCUCCUCUCUCUUUAUACCUUCUCCACUUGCUUAUGGUGUUUGUAAGCCAUUAGAGGAGUGACACUUGUGACUCUCAGCUUUCCAAGGUCAAUUCAAGGAGGAAUUGGAUUGUUAUUGCUAUAUAACAAUCAAGGUAUGUUCUUAAACCUAUUUACAUGUGAAUUCUGAUUUCCAUAUGCUAGAAUUAGGGUUUAUAGUCUUGGAUUCAAAGCAUGUACAAUAGAGAAACCUAGAUCCAAGCAUUAGGGUUUGUAUGAGCACAUAGGAUGUCUUAUGACCAAAACCCAUCAGUGGUAUCAGAGCCUUGAUUGGUUUCUAUUGUAUUGAUGCUUGAUAUAACUGAAAAUCGUGUUUUGGCCUCACUGUUCGACCUGACUCGGCGAGUCACUCUUGGACUCGGCGAGUCAGCCCUACUCGGCGAGUUCCAGAGGGUGACUCGGCGAGUCGGUGCGUCAGACAGUGCUUAUCUCGGGAUUUCUUGCUGUUUUUGCAUUGGGAUAAUUACCUUAUCAUGUUAGAUUAAUAUUAAUCCGAUUAUAUGAUAUAUUUGACUAUAUUUUUAAUCUAAUUGAAGAUAUUUAUCAAUUAAUAAGAUAAUUGUUUCCUUAUAAGAUAAUUGAUUAAUUAUUUUAAGUAAAUUGAUAAAUUAUUUUGCAAGAAAUCAUCAAAUAUGGAUAAUUAUGUGAUUAAAUGUUAAUUUGAAUUAUUUGUUAUUUGAUCCUUGUUGUUGUGAAAAGUUUCAUAUUUGGCCCUUUAGGUUUUAUAGUUUAAAUUUGAACCCCAAAAGUUUUGUUGUUUUGAAAUUUAAAUAGUUGAAACCCUAAUGUUUUGAAAAAGGUUUCAAAACUUGCCCUCAAGUUUUGGAAUUUAAAUUUUGAUUAAAUAGUUUAAUUUUGAUGCAUAUUUAAAUUCUAAACCCUAAUGUGUUGAAAUGUUUCAAAACUUGCCCUCAAGUUUUGGAAUUUAAAAGUUGAUUAAAAGUUUAAUUAGGAAUGUUAAAUUCUAAAACUCUAGUAUAGUUUUGAAAAAGUUCAAAUCACACCCUUAUGGUUUUAUUAAUUAAUUAAGGUGUAUAAUUAAAAGAGGUUUAAUAAAUCCAUAAAAGUUUAGGUUUACAAUUUAAUUGAAUUAAAAGUAUAAUUGUUAAAUUAGACCACCUAGUAUUUUAAAAGUAUAAAAUACACCCUAUACUAUAUAUAACAUUAAAAGUCUAACAUUAUAUAUAUGUAUGAGUAAAAGUCAGUCUUACCGUUAGUAGGCCUCAUUCACGAAGCUGGUCUAUAAGGGGUGUUUAAGGAAAUUGCCUAUAAAAUGGCGAUUGAAUGGGUAUCCACUCUUACCCACCGCACUCUUGACUAGUGGAGGGUCGUUAGCCGAACGGGUAGGAUAGGACGAAACCUUCCAUUAUAAGUAUAAUGAAUUAUUAAAGUAACUAAAUGUUUUCAUAAAAUUCCCAAUCUUAGUUACUUAGGCAAAAGUGAAUUGAUGCAAUUCCAUGAAAUUACACUUUGUGCCCUUGCGAAGACGUUAGUGGAGCGUGUGUGGUUAACCGGCACACUAAAUGGUUCUAAGCAAAGGUAGCAAAGGGUGACUCAAUGUUUGUCAUAGUUCGGUGGAGCGUGUGUGGUUUACCGGCACAUCGAAUAGGUGACUGUAACAUGUGAGGGCACCAUGUAAGUUUGCAUGGUUAUUCACACCCGCUUUGUGAUCCUCGGCAUCCCAGUCACAAACAAGAGGGGCAUAUCGAGAUUUAAACAUGCCAUUGAAAGUUCAAUGAAUCUCAAAGGAUCUAGGAGUUUUCAUAGAUUUAAAACUUAAAUUUCUUUUUCGUUUUUCAUGGUGGAAAUUAGUGAAUCGUCAUUCACUUACCUUCAAAUAUUCUGCAAUUAGGGUUACGGCAUCCCUCUCCCGAGUUGUAGAAUAUUGUGUUGGGUCCUAGCCUUAGUAUCUCAUUUGGGUGAUUUACUAAGGACUCAAUCAAUCAACUAACUUGAAUUCGUUUUCUCCCGUUUUGUAGAUGUCAAAGUUCGACAACUAUGGUCUUCCCAAAUCCCGUGGAACAAGCAUUCCACAUGAAGAUGAUAUUCCACGAUUCGAUCGAGGAACAAGAAAUCAUGCUUCACUUCCUCCUCCUCCUCCAAUUAUUCUCCCUAACCCACAAGUUCAAAGGCUUGAAAAGUUCAAGAUCACUCAAGCCCUUUUGGCAAGUAAACAUAAAGAAGGAAAGUCGGUGUGUGCACACGUCCUAGGGAUGAAGUCACACAUUGAUAGGUUAAGAAUGUUGGGAUCCGUUGUCUGUGAGGAAAUGGCUGUUGAUUGGGUUCUUCAGUCACUUCCUAACUCAUAUAGUGAGUUCGUAAGAGAGUACUAUAUGAUGAACCGCGACGUGACCCUUAUAGAUCUCACCUAUAUGCUUAUUGCUGCUGAAUCAGCAAUGGUUUGGCGCAAUAGAAAAGCAAAGUUGAUUGGUGAAUCUGCCUUCAAGACCUCUAUGGAUAUAGACAAUGGCAACGAAAGACAUGCUAUGAUCGAAAAGUUUGAUCAUAAGAGAAAGGCAAUGUCUGAAGUAGUUCCAUGUCAUGUUCCAAAAGAGUCAAUUUGCUUUUAUUGCCAAGAGAAAGGGCAUUGGAGACGAAGCUGCCCCAUUUACCUAAGAGAUCUAAGAGAUGGGAGAGUCGAAACGUAUGGCUCUAAUAUAGGUAAAAUCCAUUAACUAACUCUUUUAAGCUUCUAUUCUAGAUUCUUAAUACAUAAUGUGAUAAGAUUACAAUUGAUGUUUUGUAGGAUCGAAGAAAAGAAAGGAAGCUUAAGGGAAGAAGUGAGCAGAAUCUAACCGUGAAGGAAUGGAUUUCGAUCGCAUUUCUCGAAGAUUAGAUUCUUGAGCUACUACUUAGAGUUAGAAUUAGAUUGCUAAGAAAGAUGUAUUAGCAUAGUUUUUCAAUGAAUUGCAUUGUAAGGACAAAUUUUUUCCGCAAUAAAAUAAAUUUUGAUUUUAUAUUAUUUAUUUAUCCUUGCAAUGGCGUAUAUGAAAAAUUGAUGUUUGAAUGUUUCUAUUAUUAGCAAUAAUGGAUUUGGUUCUUAUUAUGUUAUUUAUGGAAAGUCGAGAGUUUACCAAAUAGGGAGAGUUUCUCAUCGCCCAAGUUUCAAUUGGACAGAAACUUGGAAUCAUGCAACUUGGUUGCACGAUGAAUGAGAAAUUUCAUAUUUGGAAAUUAGACUAAUUCAUUGACAAAGUGUCAAGUGAAGGACUAGGAGAUCGAGUACACAAAGUUGCGUGUUGAUCAAGUCCACCAUAAGAGUAACAAAGAUAUUCGUCAUGAUUUACUAAAGGUUUAGUAAAUAUGAUUAUACUUAUAAGAUUAAGUGUAAUUCUGAAUUGAUUGAAAAAGUUUAAAUCAAUAGCAGAACGAAUAAGAAGAAUCAAGUAGGCAGAAAGAUAAAAGUUUCUCCAUUCUAAGAAGAAGGGAGAGUACCUUUUAUGCUUUAUGAUAGGUCUUAAUGAUUAAGAACCAUAUCUCAAUUGAUCCUCUAAGUGAGUCUUAGUACAAUUGUAUGUCUAAGAAGAGGAAUCAAGAAUUGAAGAAAUGGUUAAAUCAAGAAGUCAAUCAUACUUCGUUCCAAAACAAGUCUUAGAGUUAAGAUUGUGACAUUGAGUGAUAAGUAUUAAGAAGGUUUAUAACAUUCAUCAAAUGUGGAAAGUUGUGAUGUCUUGGAUAAGACAAAGACCAACUAGGACCAAUUUAUGAAGUGUUUUGAUAAAAACUACACUAACUCUUGAAUAUUUGUUUGUCAAGAAAUGUUUAUUGACAAGAGAAUCUUAUAUGUCAAGGAGUCAGUGGGAGUCUUAAUGGUCUUGAAAGGUUUCAAGAACAAAUCAAAUAAACCUUAUCGAUCAUCACUAGCACACGAGUUGAGGUUUACAACCUAUCGUGUUGACAUUAUUUUGUUUCUGUGC
This 56562-nucleotide long non-coding RNA is filed under the name Lactuca sativa (garden lettuce). Its description in RNAcentral is "long non-coding RNA (LSAT_LNC007167)". The record is from RNAcentral. Lineage: Eukaryota; Viridiplantae; Streptophyta; Magnoliopsida; Asterales; Asteraceae.